GUUAUUUGGAUAUCUGGAGCCCUGGGAGUGCACCCGGUCUGGAAAUUUGGAGUUCGAGUGCAAGGUAUAGUGCCUUUUUUUCUAUGUGUGUGUGUAUAUAUGUGUGUGUGUGUAUAUAUAUAUAUAUAUAUAUAUAUAUAUAUAUAUAUACACACAUACACUGUCUAGGUGUAUUUUACUAUUAAAAUAUAUAUAUAUAUAUAUAUAUAUAUAUAUAUAUAUAUAUAUAUAUUAAAUUACACGUAGACUGAUACUGAUUAAAUAUAUAUAUAAUUGUUAUAUAUAUAUAUAUAUUUAUAUAUAAUAUAAAAAAAAAUUAAUUAAAAAAAUAAUUUAAAAAAUAUAUAGAUGUGUUAUUUCGUUCUAACUGUAUUGUGAUAUUAAUAUAUAUAUUUAUAUCAAAAUACACGUAGAACGAAAUAAUAUAUAUCUACAUACAUAAAUAUAUACGUAUAUAUCACUAUAUAUAUAUAUACCUAUAUAUAAAUAAAAAUAUUUUUAAAAAAUUAUAUAUAUACACAUAUAGAUUCACAUACGUGUAUAUCCAUAUACAUAUAUUAAUUCUACAUAUAUAUUUAUGUAAUAUUUUUACAUAAUUAGGUAUCUUAAUUAAUUACAAUUAGCGGGACCUGCCUGACAACCCAUGCCGAAAGUAAAGGGAAUUUAAUUUGCUAGCACUAUAUUUAACCCUAUAACUUUCCAAGACACCAUAAAACCUGUACAUGGGGGGUACUGUUCUACUCGGGAGACUUCGCUGAACACAAAUAUUAGUGUUUCAAAACAGUAAAAUGUAUUACAACGAUGAUAUCGCCAGUAAAAGUGAAGUUUUUUGCAUUUUUCAUGCACAAACAGCACUUACACGGACGAUAUUAUUGCUGUGAUACUUUUUACUGUUUUGAAACACAAAUAUUUGUGUUCAGCGAAGUCUCCCGAGUACAACAGUACCCCUCAUGUACAGGUUUUAUGGUGUUUUCAAAAGUUACAGCGUCAAAUAUAAGGCUUGCGUUUCAUUUUUUUCACAUUAAAAUUCGCCAGAUUGGUUACGGUGCCUUUGAGACCCUAUGGUAGCCCGAGAAUGAAAAUUACCCCUAUGAUGGCAUACCAUUUGCAAUAGUAGACAACCCAAGGUAUUGCAAACUGGGUAUGUCCAGUCUUUUUUAGUAGCCACUUAGUCACAAACAUUGGCCAAAAUUGGCGUUUUUUUGCAUUUUUCACACAAACAAAUACUAACGCUAACUUUGGCCAGUGUUUCUGACCAAAUGGCUACUAAAAAAGACUGGACAUACCCCAUUUGCAAUACAUUGGGUUGUCUACUAUUGCAAAUGGUAUGCCAUUAUGGGUGUAAAUUUCAUUCCUGGGCUACUAUAAAGUCCCAAAGGCAACGUAACCUAUCUGGCAAAUUUCAAUUUCAAAUGUAACGUGCUAUAUUUGACCCUGUAACUUCCCAAAACGUCAUAAAACCUGUACAUAGGGGGUACAUUUUUACACGUGAGACUUUGCUGAAUACAAAUAUGUGUAUUUUAUUGCAGUAAAAGCAAACAAUAUUAUGACAUUGACAGUUAAAAUGUCAUGUAGAACUAAAAAAAAUUAUAAAAUUCUUAUUUUCUCCCUUUUUUUUCCAUAUUAAAUUAUGUUUCAUAGCUAAAUAUUUGAUAUUAAAUGAAAGCCCUGUUUCUCCUGAAUAAAAUGAUAUAUAAUAAGGGUGGGUGCAUCUACUAUGAAAUAGGUGAAUUACGGUUGGACAGACAUGUAGCGCAAAUGCCAGGUUUUGUUUACAUUUUGUUUCGUUCACAACGUGUACAUUUGGCUCUGUCCUUAAGGGGUUAAUUUGAUGUCACAUAUACAUAGAUACAUUCUCAUUAAUUAUAAAAAAAAAAAAAAAUAGCCACAAAAUGGGGAAAUGUUUUUGUUUUUUUUUCACAGUUUUGGCAAUAAUCGCGUGUGCAUAAUAUGUCCAGCUUAGAAAAAGUAAUUGAAAAUAAAUUCAUUUAUGUGUCUUGAUUUAUAGAAUACAUAAUAUGUAUAGGAUUUCAGCUUAUUUUCCAAGUUACAGGUCACAAAAAAAGACUAAAAUAAAAUUUUAAUGUGAAACAAUUUUUUAAAAGUUGGUAUGUUUGUCUUGUAGGUUUAGUAGCCACCACAGAGAACAAAAUUGCCACACAAAAGUAUAUAUUUAUAUAAAGUAGACAUCACAGGCUAUUUACCUAGGGUUAGUUUGUCACUUUUCACGUAACCAUUUCAUUGCCAAUCUCUGCUAAAUAUUGGAGUAAAAUUUAGUUUUUUCUCUAUUUUGGCAUAUACACAUAUAACAAAGUUUUUGUAAUGUGUAUUUCGUAAAGCUGGAGUGUGCUAUUCUUGCACAGAACCCAAUAUUGUAUUCAGCUACCUCUGCUGAGUAUAACGAUACCUCAUUGUAUGCCUUUGGCACUUUUCCGUAAAGCUACAAUGCCAUAUAAGAGACAACGCUAUUUCAGUUUCUAUAGCUAGAAUUUUCCUAGAUGGAUUUGACUGGCCUAUGUCUCAUUUUAGGGUAUUACAGCAGUGUGACUAUUCAAAUAACCCCACAAUGGGCUUUCAUUUGAUAAAGCAGACACCCCAGGGUAUCUAUUAUGGUGUAUAUCGUGCCUUAACUUGUCACCAUUUUAUCACCAAUUUAUGUCAAUGUUUGUGGUGGGGGGUUGGGGGGAGGGGAGUGCAUUUUUACAUAUAUGUUGCAUUUUUGUUGAGCAUUUCUUGCAUUUGAUAUGUACCACUGUCAUAAAAACCCACAAGUUAUGCUCAGUUACAUCUUCUGAGUAAAACAAUAUGCCCAAUGUAUGACCUAGACACUAUUUUGUGAAGUUGCAGAGCUGUAAAAGAGAUGUGACAAGUUCAGGUUUUUAAGUGUGAAUUUUCAUGGAGGGUUUUAAUGCGUCCAUGUACCACUUUGGAGCACAUGAGCAGGCUAACUAUUACAAUAACACCAUAAAGGAAUACAAUUUCUUAAAGAAGACAUCCCAGGGCGAUUCAAAAGGCAUGUUUUGAACCUUAGCGUGGGAUAAUUUUUCCUCUGCCUUGUACCAAGUGUAGUGGUAAUAAGCAUUUUUUCUGCCUUUUUGACACACAAAGUGAGUUUGCGCAGUAUAUUUUGCAAACCUUAUGUGUGCCACGACUGUAUAAUACUUCAUAUGUUGCUCAGCUAUGUCGGCUGAGUACAGCAAUACCCCCGUAUGCACUUUUGCCAGGUAUAUGUGGACAUGGAAGAGGCACAUUUGAGACAAAGCCAUUACAGUUUUUUUCAAACUUUGAAUUUUUAUGCUGUGUCCAUGUCCCAUUUUAGAGUAUUCUACCAGGCUAUAUAAUCCAAUUACCCCAUAAAGGCAUACCAUUUCUCAAAGAAGACAUCACAGGGCAAUUUAAAAGGCAUAUUUUGAACCUUAGCGUGGGAUCAUUUUUCCGCUAGCUUGUACCAAGUGUAGUGGUAAUAAGCAUUUUUUCUGCCUUUUUGACACACAAAGUGAGUUUGCGCAGUAUAUUUUGCAAACCUUGUGUGCUACGACUGUAUAAUACUUCAUAUGUUGCUCAGCUAUGUCGGCUGAGUACAGCAAUACCCCCGUACGUACCUUUGCCAGGUAUAUGUGAAUGUUGAAGAUGCAGCCAUUCAGUUUUUUUUCUAACUUUGAAGUUUUACGCUGUGUCCAUGUUCCAUUUUGGAGUAGGUUAGCUGGCUGGUUAUUCAAACUUCCCCACAAACACAUACUAUUUAUGAAAGAAUACACCACGGGGUAAUUUAAAAGGCAUAUUGUGAACCUUAGCAUUAGAUCAUUUUUUCGCUAGUAUGUUCCAAGUAUAGUGGUAAUGAGCAUUUUUUUAAUGUAUUUUUUUACUUUGUAAAACUCGUUUUUAAACUUUUUUUUUUUUUUACUUAUUAAAUGUUUUAAAUUUUUUUAGAAACUUUUCUUUCACCGUUAACCACUAACUAGCAGUAAGCAGCACUAACAGUAAAUUCCCCACUUUCACAUAACUCCCACCCACCCCAGCUAGCAAAAUAUACAAUUAUAAAAUAUUUAAAUUAAUUAAAUAAAUUGAACCCCUGAGGGUUAAAAAAUAAAUAAGUUAAUCAUCAAGGGUUAAAAAAAUUAGAUCACUGUAUAAUCCUGUGAUCUGUAUUUUGAUCACUGUAGGCAGUGAUCAACUGGCAGGGAAGGGGUUAAUUUUUAUUUGGACUGGGUAAAGGGGGGUGAUAUAUAUAUAUAUAUUUUUUUUUUUUUACUUAAACAUUACUAAAAUAUUUUUUAAAAACUUUUUAAAGCUUAUUUUAAAACUUUUUUUUAACGUUAACCACUAGUUAGCCUAACACCAAAUCCCCCAAUUCCCCACUAACUUCCAACCAUCUCAGCCAGCUAAAUAUAUAAUUUUUAAAUAUUUAAAUUAAUUAAUAAAAUUAAUUUAACCCCUGAGGGUUAAAAAAAAAAAAAAAAAUAACCCUCAGGGGUUUAAAAAAAAUCAAAUGACAGUAAAAUGUAAUCCCUGCCAAUUGAUCACUGUAGUCAGUAGUCAAUUGGCAGGGAAGGGGUUAAUUUUAUUAAAGCAGGGGAAAGGGGGGGUGGGAUUUGAUUUUUUUUUUUUUUUUACAGGGAGAAGAGGAUCGAUCAGCACUGAUCCGCCUUCCUGCACUUCACAGUGAACCCGGAUGUGCAGGGAGGUGGAUCGUGAGUCCCUGCAACACGUGCUCGCUCUGACAGCCUGUCAGAGCGAUCACUGCUGCAGGGGCAGCGUGAUCCGGUGCUCCCAGUCUGCCUCGGAUACUAAGGCAGACCGGGUAAGCAUUAACCCAGCGACCGCAGCAAUCGUGGCGAUCUGGGGUUAACCUUAGUAAAUGACGGAAAUUUUCCGUCAACGGUCCUUAACUGAAGGACAAGGUUGAUGGAAAAUUUCCGUCUCCAGUCGGGAAUGGGUUAACAGAGACUUAAUUAAUAAGUAAUCAUUGAGCUUAAAGAAACAACUUAAUCCUCUAAAUAUUCAGCUUCUGGCAGUCAGGCUUGAAGGGGACCUUCUCUUACUGGGAAUCAGCAGAACCAGCAGUACUCGUCCUUAUUACAGGUGGGUAGUGCUCCAAGUGAGACCAAAUUUUCUCUUCUUUUAUAACAUUACUAAUAAGAUGGAUAGUCUGUACUUUUCCAUUAAAUCUCCUUAUCAGUGCAGCCCAGCAAAGACCUUGCAAAAGCGUUGGAUGGGACCGAAAGCUGGCCAGGCUGAUCAGGCCCACCAACAAUCCCAUGCCAGGUCUGUGCGAUUUAAUUAUCUAUUAUCUAAAAAGCUAGCUCUGUUCUCAUAAUAUUCUCGUGAUGGUAUGCAUGGGUCAUUCUGGUGCGGUGUUUUGUGGUUUUAUUAACACUUUCAGUGCUGUGUGCCGGCGCCAUCUUAACUAUAUAUAAAAGUUUGAUUUGCUCAAUAGUGAUCAAUCAUUCUUAAUUAAUAUGGACUAUUAUCACACGCGUCCACCCACGGUGAUGACGACCAUGGCCUGCUUGUGACGUCUCGCAGGAGACGCGCGUGCGUUCUGGGGUCAAAGGCUGAUUUCGGCCUAUCAGAUUUGUAAAUGGCUUAUUUAAACGCAUUUUUACUUCUCCUCUUUUCCCUGUCGUGGUUUCCCUAGUGGUUGUCCGAGAGUGUGUUUCUGAGCGUUUAUUUUCUGGUUAUUGACUUUGGCUUCAUUUGACUUUCCUGUGUUCUGGUACCCCUGACUUUUGGCUUCCCCUCAUCGUUUUGUCUCAUUCUGUGUCCCCGACCUUAAAAUAUUCUGACUAUUCUCUGGUACAUUAAGUCCGGCCAUUCUAAGGCCUGGUAAGACGUUACCUUUUAGUCCUAGGUGUGAUACAGUUCUACGUGCUGGAUCAACUUGUAAUCCUGACAAGAUCAGAGUGAGGGGGAGAGGGAGAAAAAAAAACAAGCAGACAGUGCAGUAGAUGGCACACUUUAUAUACACACACUCACAAAUAUAUAUAUAUAUAUAUAUAUAUAUAUAUAUACAAAAACAUGAAUACAUGUACAUACAUGCACAUGAACUCAUAUAAAUGUACAGUCACAUAUAUAAGCAUACAUACAUAAGAGUAUGGGAAAGCAUAGGUCAUCACAUAGUACUUUGUACAUUAAUAGAAUAAACAUAUUGGAAUGCUUUUGGAAGUGUUGAUACAUCUGACAGAACAGUAAGAUAAUUUGGGGAGUGUUCAUGUAAAGUGUUGGUAGUAGGACAGCAAACCCAAAUCAAUAUUUAGUCCUCUAUUCUUGCUGUUAAACAAAUAGAUCAUUCUGACUUCAAAUGUUUUUCUUUCUUGGGUAUUUUUAAAACCCCCUUUCAGUACUUUUAUUUUUAGGUCCUUCAUUGGGUGGCCAGGCUGGGUAAAAUGGUGUCCCACAGGAGUGCAAUACGAUUCUUCUUUGUGGUGUUUAAACUAGGGAUCGACCGAUAUAGGUUUUUUUUAGAGCCGAUAAUCUGUGAACUUUCAGGCCGAUAACUUGCCGAUAUUCUGUACAUUUACCAUUUUGAAAAAAUAAACUAUUUCUAAAGGUAAAUGCACAAAAUAUACAUGCCACAUGUAGUGGAUGCAGUGUGUUUAGACAGGGAAGCUGUGUGUGUGUGGAGGAUGCAGUGUGUGUUUGUGUAGUGUGUGUGUGUAUAUAAUGAAUGCAGGGUGUGAUUGUGUAGUGUGUGUGUGUGUGUGUGUGUGUAUAUAUAUAUAUAUAUAUAUAUAUAUAUAUAUAUAUAUAUAUGUGUGUGUAAAGAGAAUGCAGUGUGUGUAGUGUGUGUAUAGUGAAUGCUGUGUGUGUGUGUGUGUAGUGUGCGCAAGGGGAAUGCUGUGUGUUUGUGUAGUCUGUGUAUAUAAUGAAUGCAGAGUGUGUUUGUGUAGUCUGUGUAUAUAAUGAAUGCAGAGUGUGUUUGUAUAGUGUGUGUAUAUAAUUAUAUAAUGAAUGCAGAGUGUUUGUAUAGUGUGUAUAUAAUGAAUGCAGAGUGUGUUUGUGUAGUGUGUGUAUAUAAUGCAGAGUGUGUGUUUAUGUAGUGUGUGUGUAUAUAAUGAAUGCAGUGUGUGUGUGUGUGUAUAUAAUGCAGUGUUUGUGUGUGUGUGUGUGUGUGUGUGUGCAUUAUAUACACACACUACACAAACACACACACACUCUGCAUUUACACACACUACACAAACACACACUCUGCAUUCAUUAUAUACAUGCAACACACAUUCUGCAAUAUAUAAGCACUACACACCCUGCAUUAUAUACGCACUACACACUCUGCAUUAUCUACACACACAUUACACACACUCUGCAUUAUAUACACUACACAAACACACACACUGCAUUAUAUACACACACUACACAAACACACACACUACAUUAUAUACACACACACACACAUUACACACACUCUGCAUUAUAAACACUACACAAAUACACACACAGUGUGUGUGUAUAUAAUUCAGAGUGUGUGUGUGUAUUUGUGAAGGGGUGUAAUUUGUGUAAAAUGGGCAGGAGGGGAGGGCAUUUCUUAUUUUGAUUUUAUUUUUAAUAUUUAUAUGUUUUAUUUUUAUCCCCCUUCCCUGCUUGUUACCUGGCCAUGGAGGGGGGAUGUGGCAUUCCCUGGUGGUCCAGUGGCAUGGACUGUGUACUGAGUAGUGGGGGGACAGGCAGCAAGCACUUACUUACCUUUUUCUGCAGCUCCCCAGUGUAAAUCUCGCGGUCUGCGUGCCGCGCGGAGCAUUGCCAUGGUAACUUGUGGCAACGCUCUGACGGCCGCGGGACUCGCAAAAUUUACACUGGGGAGCUGGAGGAGCUGCAGGAAAGGUAAGUAAGCACUUGCUGCCCGCCCCCCAUAGGACUGCUGGGCUUGUAAUGAGCCCAGCGGUCCUGGUAUGUAUUAUCGGCAAUAUCGGUAUCUAUAUUGGCCGAUACCGAUAUGGCCGAUAAUAUCGGUAAAACCAAUAAUCGGUCGAUCCCUAGUUUAAACGGAGUGUGUAAAAAUAUCUUAAAGUGACUGUAUUCUGUAUACAAUCAUGUACUUAUCAAAACAAAUAUGACUGUAAUGUCCAAUAACUCUAUAAUAAAGUGCUAGUGCGAAUAAAUGUGUCUGUGAAACUCAAAUUCAGAGUGCAGAUAAGUGCCAAUAAUAAAGUGACACUGGUGCAUAGAAUAUUGCAUUUACAGGCUAAACCGGGACUCGACAAAUCCCAGGUCGCCAUGGCGACUAAGAAUUUUGCCCAGGCGCCUGUGAUUGGUCAGCCCCUUCACUCCUCCUCCUAUUUAAAUCACUGCAUAGCUUUCUGUGCAAAGGUGUACCGUGUGAUCUGUAAUUACUUCCUCCCGGCGCUGCGGCCGCACAGAAAACUAGCAAGCUAGCAGGAUACUUGGUAAAAUCGUCUCUGUUAACCGCCCACCCACAUAUCACAGACCCAAUGCCUGCCCGCAUUUCACAGACCUGACCGCUCGCACAAUCGUUCCCCUGCACGGCUUCAGCGCCGGGAGGAAGUAAUUGCAGAUCCAUUCACUUUAGUGUGCAUAAAGUGAAGGGAUCUGCACAUAAUAUCUGCACAUAAUAUCGAGACUGGUGUAGGAGAGGAGUCUUGACCAGUGGCAGCCCACUCCCAUUAGCCACAGCCAGGCAAAUUAAUCUAAUGUCUGCUGCCGACCCCAGUCACACUGGACCCCAGGAAAAAAACUCUCCUGCACCCAAAAGGUAGGAAACAGGAGAGUGGCUAAAAAUAUGAAUUCACUUUUUUUUUCCUGUGUAUAUAUCUGUCAUGCAUGUAUGUCUGUGUGUGUGUAUUGUCUGUGUGCAGCUAUGAUUCUUUGUGUGUAUAUCAAAUAAUACAUAUCUUGUGAGUUUGUGAGAGGUUGUGUGUGUGUGUGUGUGUGUCUGUGUGUUGUCUGAUCGCAUGGGAAUGAUGUUUUUACUCACCUGUUUUCCAACGCCAUGCCAGUCUCGCCACAGCUGGCCCGCCUCCAUAACUGAAAUUAUCAAUCAACAUCUCCUCAUAGUGAGCAUUAAAGCAAUGCAUCUUGAAGGGGAACGUUCAGGCUGAAUGUAGGUGUUCUGCACAUUGUUCAGCACUGAGAUAGGAGACACUUUAGUGGCAGUUUGAGUGACUGCCACUAGAGGUGUGACUAGGCAGCAAGGUAAACGCUGCCUUUUAUCUGAACAAGCAGAACUUACAUAAAAAACCUACAGGGACAGGUUAUAGACACCAGAGUCACUAAAUUAAGCUGUAGUGUUUCUGGUGACUAUAAGGUCCCUUUAAGAAUUUUUGAGGUUGAAAAAAAGCUGGCUCCUAAUUUUUUUUUUUUUUAGCUGGCUCCUUGAUUGAAAGCAUAUUUGUCAAGCCCUGGGCUUAACAAUUGAUAAAUAUAACACUAAGUAUUACUUAAAAUCCUAUAAAGAUCCUAACUCCCCAUCCAACUGCUGUCCUAUCUCGCUACUGCCUUUUGCAUCCAAGAUCCUUGAAAGAAUUGUGCAUGCGAGAUUGACAGACUUCCUCGAGUCCAACUCUCUGCUAGACCUGCUUCAGUCUGGUUUCCGCGCUAAGCACUCUGUGGAAACGGCACUAACCAAAGUAUCCAAUGAUCUACUCGCUGCAAAAUCUUGUGGUCACUACUCUAUCCUAAUUCUCCUUGACCUGAUCCUCCUACCUCUCCCAGCGCUCUUUCAGUGUUUCUUUCUCUGGCUCUGCUUCUUCUCCCCAACUCCUCUCUGUUGGUGUCCCCCAAGGUUCAGUCAUUGGUCCCCUACUGUUCUCCCUCUAAACUGCCUCCCUUGGUAAACUCAUUAGCUCCUUUGGCUUCCAAUAUCAUUUCUAUGCAGAUGACAUGCAAAUCUACCUGUCCUCUCCUGAUCUCUCCCUGUCCCUCUUGACUAGUGUCUCUGACUGCCUCUCUGCUAUUUCUAACUGGCUGCCCACUUCAUUGAACUAAACUUGACCAAAACUGAAAUUCUGGUCUUUCCUCCCUCAAGUGUUAUUACUCCUGUGUCUGUCUCCCUCCAAGUCAACGGUGCUACCAUCAGCUCUACCACACAGGCUCGCUGCCCAGGUGUUCUCUUUGACUCCGACCUCUCUUUCAAGCCUCAUGUUCAGUCUAUCGGCAAAUCCUGUCAUUUCCAUCUCAAAAACAUUGCGCGCAUCCACCCUUACUAAACUCCAGAUGCGACUAGGUGCUGGUCCAUUCCACUGUCCUUUCUCACCUUGACUACUGUAAUCCGCUUCUCAGUGGUCUUACGUGCUCCCAACUUGCGCCAUUACAAUCCAUAAUGAAUGCGGGGGCGAGGCUCAUCUUCCUGUCCGCCCGCACCUCCCACGCCUCACCCUUCUGUCAGUCCCUACAUUGGCUUCCUGUAAGAUAUAGGGCUCAAUUUAAAAUUCUGGUUCUUGCUUUCAAAUCUCUACAUAAUGCUGCUCUCACCUGUCUAUCCUCUCUUAUACACAAGUAUGCCCUGUCUAGGUCCUUACGAUCUGCUGAAGACUUACAUCUAUCUUCUGUCCGUACUCCCACCUCUGAUGCUCGCCUUCAAGACUUCUCAAGGGCUGCACCGUUCCUGUGGAACUCACUUCCCUCCUCCGUUAGAUGCUUACCCAGUCUCCACUCCUUCAAAAAAAUCAUUCAAAACCCACUUCUUCAGUAAAACGUAUCAAUUAAACUGUUAAUAGCUCCCGACUGAUUCCUCUCUUGCAACUGUCAUUAGUCUAAUACUAUCCUUACCUUUUGUGUCACUUUACCCCACUCCCUCUAGCAUGUAAGCACAUUGAGCAGGGCCGUCUGAGUGACAGACACUAGAGGUCUUAGUAGGCAGCAAUGGAAACACUGCCUUUUCUCUGAAAAUGCAGAGUUUACAUUGAAAAGGCUACAGGGACAGGCUAUAGGCACCAGAACCACUACAUUAAGCUAUAGUAGUUCUGGUGACUAUAGUGCCCCUUUAAAAAAACAAAACCUGGAUCCUAACUUUUUUUAGCUGGCUCCAAGAUUCCAAACAAAUUUGUCAAGACCUCUGAUAUAUAUAUAUAUAUAUAUUGUAAGCUGAAAUUGUGGGAAGGGUUGUCAACUGAUUUAAACCCAGGUGACUCCUUCUUACCUAUCGUCACUUUUUUUGUUAAAAGGGCAGUAGUAAAUGCGCCUACGCAGAGGCUCUAGAAGGCAUUACUUUGCAUUUUCUUAGAGUUGUUUGUGUUACUUGUGCGAUAACAAGGUUGCUUUGUCUUCAGACAAAAAGGAACAAAACUUAUGUAACCGUAUAUAGGUCAUAGUUUGGCGUGUGGAAGAUAUAUAGUGUUGAUUAUGUGGACCCAGAGAAACCUAGUCGUUGGGUGCUUGGUCAUAUGAGCUUGAUCUCUUUGAAGGAUGACCGAAGUGCGUAGUUGGGCAGUUCAGGGUGUGUCGUCACUUUUUGGAAGUUCCAGUUUCUACUUCCAGUUCGCAUAGACCUCUGACGUAAUUCCGCUCUUCAUAUGCUUUUGCACGAAUCCAGCUGUUUCAAUACAUUCGUUGGUCUCGUCACGUGAGUAUUUCAUACUAAAAAAAACGAACAUGGUCCCGAAUCAGGAACUUGUUGAAAUGUGAGAGGGGGUGGUUAAUGGGACUGGGUUACAUUGCUGAAAUCAGCAAAACAUGUUACAGCACUGCAGGAAAACUACACAGAAUUGAAAGAAUAAAAACUAACCACAGGUAUUUAGAGCUUAUUAGCUUUAAUUUUACCAUAACUUGUUAAGCUGCCUGGAGUGUCCCUUUAAGUAUGUAUCAACCAUGUAGAUGGUACUUAUUGGGCAACAACACAUAAUAAGAUUAUUACAAUUCAAUUUGUGGUUUUACAAAUGGGAAAUGAACUCAUACAUGUGGGUAUAUGCUGCUAUAAAUAUUCACUGGGGGAUGUUGUUAACCACUGUAUCCGGUACUAUUACAUUGUUGCAAUUCUCAUCAUGUUAGAGGAAUACUCCAGACAAAAAAAAAAUUAUAAUAAUGCUUUUUAUAGUAUUUAGAAUGGGUAACUGUUUUUUUUUUCAUAUGCAAAUGUGCAUAGUUUUUCAAGGAAAAAAAAUCCCACAAAUUGUUUAAAAAAAAUUAACCUUAGCCACGCCUUUUACAUUCUGAAAGAUUCACUACUUCCAGCAAAUAUAUGCAGCUUAGCCACUGAUCAGCCCGGAACUGAUUUUAAACUGAAAUGCUGGUUAUAAUACAUUACUCCUGGGAUAGCUGGACCAGUGUGACGGUAGUCACCAUCACCUGGGGUUUCAUACGGACACUCUAUGUAGGACCCUGGAUUACGCCUAUGUCUAAGUCACCCUAUAACCAUUAUAAAGAUAGGAGCAAUCACUAUAAGCAGUGCUGUUUUUACCUGCUUCGGAAGGUGAAGCUGCAGAGGGGACGAUACCUGCCUGGAAAGAAAGCUGAAGAGACAAAGGCAGAGGGGUCAAUACUUGCCUGGAAGAAGGGUGGAAGAGUUCCGGAGUGACCCAAGUUAAGUUUUGGCGACUGGGUCUGAAGGGCUCCAGAAUUCCUUGUGGCAGUUAGGAAGUGGACCUUGCGGAGGUACUCAGUCGGAGUACAGGAGUCCAUCACGCAGUGCUAGUCAUGCAGCUACCACCCACCUCCGACCAACCUCAGAGUCCUGAUUACAAAAAGGAGCCUAGCAUCCAGCCAUUUCUUUUAAGACAACUGACAUACUCAUGCUGCAACAUGCUUCUGGAAGAGGAAGAGGUUUACAAUGAAAUUAUGUUAAUUUUGGUAAUUUUCACCUCAACGGGGGCUCUGAUAUCAAGUAUGGUAAAAAUAGGAAUAUGAACCAGUUACAAAACACUGACAGUUAUACUCAGACAUCUGCACUAAUCAAGAUCAAGAAAAUGUAUUGUAUUAAUUACAUUAAAAAGGCUCUGUCACCUUCUUUGAUAACGCCCUCUACUCAGUGAAGAAUGUGUGAUCAUUCCUGAUAGACAUUGGUCUUUCAUUAAAAUUCCAACACAGUCAAUAUAUACCAUGUGGAGCUUGUACAGUGCCACCCGUUGGUUGCAAUGAUCUAGCAGCAGCUGUAUGCACUACCAGGGAUUGCCAAAUUGCAUGUUUAGCUAGAUUUGCAUAUUGCAAAUUCUGCAGGCAGUAGAGAUGUUUUGUGCUUAUAAUUGUCUUCCCCGCUCCUUUUAUAAAUAUGAGGCAACGAUAUCUGCCUUGAAGGAGAGAGCUGCAGCGGCAUAGGCAGAGGGUACGAUACAUGCCUGGAAGGAGAGAGGUGCAACAGCAUAGGCAGAGGGCCUGGAAGGAGAGAGCUGCAGUGGUAUAGGCAGAGUGGACAAUACCUGCCUGGAAGGAGAGAGCUGCAGCUGGGUUGGUUGGAAGAGCUUCGGAGAGACCCCAGUCAAGCUUCGGCGACUGGGGCGGAAGCGUUCCAGGGUCCCUGCAAACAGCUAGGAAGCGGACUGGGCGGAUGUACUCGGUCGGAGUACAGGAGCUCUAUCACCGUGCCAAUCCAGAAAUACAAAUGUGGCCAAGAACGGCCCUGCAGCAGCAGUGUCUUCACUCCUGCUGCAGUUGCUCGGCAGUGCUUCCCCACACCUCUGUGUCGCUUGUUGGGUACUACAGGCAAUAGUUUUCCCUGGCCUUUGGAUGUUACUAUUCUCAUGGACAGAUGCUAUUAAUCACAUUGAGCCCCAGCAUAGGGCAGGACAACAGAAGCCAAAAUUUAUUUUGAUGGCUAUUGAUAAUGUAGUAUAUGCCUGCUUAUAUUUUUAAAAGUUACAUGCAUUAAAUAAGUGUCUUUUUAACAGAUUUGAGAGUUCUGCUGUUUUUAAUGUGUGUUUUAUCAAUGGUUGAAGCAACUGGUGUCAACCCAGAAUACAGAGAGAGUGGUUAUUUUAUACUCUACAGUGGUCUCCAGGUGCCAUAAUAGAAUUUGUUAAAAGCUUCUAUCAUUUAUAUGCGAGUGCAAUAUGUUUACAAUUUAAGUAAUACAAAAUAUUAUUUACAACAUUUGGCGCGUUAAACCCCUUCAGUUACCUACUUUAAUCCAGCACCGAGCUCCCUCUCCUCCCUGUCCAUCAAUGGCAAGUGCUGCGUGUGCAUUCAAAGUGUCCAUAGGAAAGCAUUUCCCAAUGCUUUCCUAUGGAAGCUCUGCGCAAUGGAUGCAGACGCGCCUCUAGUUGCUGUCCGGAAGACAGCCACUAGAGGCUGGAUUAACCUCAAAUGUAAACAUAGCAGUUUCUCUGAAUUCCCUAUACCUGGGGUUAUAUAGAUUUAACCGGGGUGUGUGUGACUGCUACAUAUUAUUACACCCCUGCAAAUUGUGUUGUUUUACAGUAGUUUUAAACCCCCCAGCAUUGUGGGUAAUAUAUCUUUCAGCACAUGGUAUCAAGGCUGACACUUAAAAAGCCAUGUUGUGGGCCCUCCCCUGGCAUACACUGUCAGGCAUACAUGCAUGCACAAACAUACUCAGAUACAGACACACAUUAGAAGACAUUAGCCCCUAUAUACUUCUUAAAGAGACACUAUAGUCACCCAGACCACUUCAGCUAAAUGAAGUGGUCUGGAUGCCAGGUCCCUCAGGUUUUAACCCUUCAGAUGCAAACUAGGGAUCGACCGAUAUUGGUUUUUUAGAGCAGAUACCGAUAAUCUGUGAACUUUCAGGCCGAUAGCCGGUAACUUGCCGAUAUUCUGUACAUUUACCAUUUUGAAAAAAUAAACUAUUUCUAAAGGUAAAUGCACAAAAUAUACAUGCCACAUGUAGUAGAUGCAGUGUGUUUAGACAGGGAAGCUGUGUGUGUGGGUGGAGGAUGCAGUGUGUGUUUGUGUAGUGGGUAUAUAAUGAAUGCAGGGUGUGUUUGUGUAGUGUGUAUAGUGAAUACAGGGUGUGUUUGUGUAGUGUGUAUAGUGAAUGCAGUGAGUGUUUGUGUAGUGUGUAUAGUGAAUGCAGUGAGUGUUUAUGUAGUGUGUGUGUAGUGUGCGUAAAGUGAAUGCAGUGUGUUUGUGUAGUGUGUGUAUAUAAUGAAUGCAGAGUGUGUGUUUGUAUAGUGUGUGUUUGUGUAGUGUAUGUAUGUAAUGAAUGCAGUUUGUGUAGUAUGUAUAUAAUGCAGAGUGUGUAUAGUGUGUGUUUGUGUAGUGUGUGUAUAUAAUGAAUACAGUAUGUUUGUAUAGUGUGUGUGUUUGUGAAGGGGUGCAAUUUGUGUAAAAUGGCCGGGAGGGUGGGGCAUUUUUUUAUUUUAAUUUUAUUUUUAAUGUUUUUGUUUUUUGUUUUUUUUUAUUCCCCCCUCCCUGCUUGUUACCUGGCCAGGGAGGGGGGCUAUGGCAUUCCCUGGUGGUUCAGUUGCAUGUACUGAGCAGUGUGGGGGGCCCGCAGCAAAUGCAGAGUGUGUUUGUGUUGUGUGUGUAGAGAAUGCAGAAUGUGUUUGUGUAGUGUGUAUAGUGAAUGCAGAAUGUUUGUGUAGUGUGUACAGUGAAUGCAGAAUGUUUGUGUAGUGUGUAUAGUGAAUGCAGAAUGUGUUUGUGUAGUGUGUAUAGUGAAUUCAGAAUGUGUUUGUGUAGUGUGUAUAGUGAAUGCAGAAUGUGUUUGUGUAGUGUGUAUAGUGAGUGCAGAAUGUUUGUGUAGUGUGUAUAGUGAAUGCAGAAUGUGUUUGUAUAGUGAAUGCAGAGUGUGUGUGUGUGUGUGUUUCUGUGUUAUUUGUGUAAAAUUGGGGGGCGGGGAUUUUGUUUGUUUGUUUUAUUGAUUUUUUAAUAUUACAUUUUUAAAAACAAUUUUUUUUUUUUUAGUCCCCCUUCCCUGCUUGUUACCUGGCCAGGGAGGGGGGGAUAUAGCAUUCCCUGGUGGUCCGGUGGCAUGGACUGUGUAGAGGGACGUCUGAAGCCACAAACGUCUGUCUCACCACAGACUGCAGUUUACAGGGCUGUGGAACAUCUAUCGCCCAAUACCCAGGACAUACAGCUCCGGGUAUCACACGGUUACUUCUUGUCCUUUAUCCCUGCUGUGUGCAAGCAGCAGGGCUCCUACAUAGGUUCCUGGAGGGCACUGAAUUCUACAAACCAAUACAGCGUGGCAUGCAGAUUAUAACUGAAGGAGGACAGGUUUAGGGUUGCAUUCAGUCAGCACACACCACACAAACUGCAUACAGCCAGCAAGCUUACUUACCUUUCCAGCAGCUCCCUGUGUAAAUCUCGCGGUGUGCGUGCUGCGCGGAGCGUUGCCAUUGUAACCCGUGGCAGCGCUCUGACGGCUGCAGGACUCGCAAUAUUUACACAGGGAGUUGCUGGGAAGGUAAGUAAGCUUGCUGGCCCCCCCCAGGACCACCAGUCUUGUAAUGGGCCCGGCAGUCCAGGUAUGUAUUAUCGGCAAUAUCGGUAUCUCUAUUGGCCGAUACCAAUAUUUCCGAAAAUACUGAAUAUCUGCCGAUAACAUCGGUAAAACCGAUAAUCGGUCAAUCCCUAAUGCAACAUAGCAGUUCCAGAGAAACUGCUAUGUUUACAUUUGGGGUUAAGCCAGCCUCUAGUGGCUGUCUUUCGGACAGCCACUAGAGGCGCAUCUGCCAUGCUGGAGGCAUAUUAUGCCUCCAUCACGCAGAGCGUCCAUAGGAAAGCAUUGUGAAAUGUCCUGUCGCUUCCAAGAGGGGGUAUGCCCACAUGCCACGUCAAGGCAGCCCUACACUGACCCUUCACCUUGCUUCCUUGAGCUUUUGGCAAAGAUAUCUCCAAUGAGACAGAGAGGGGUAUUUUUUAUACAACCCCCUAUAUAUUUAUUAAUCCUUAAUAGGGAUUGGAAUGGGCGGCAGCACAUGGAAUGGGCGGCAGCAUUGUAACAAAGCUGUGUGAUACAACAAGUGGAUACAAAUGCAGAAAGAUCCCCACCUAGGAGGUCUGGCUUGACGUGGCAGGUGGGCAUAUCCUCUUAUGGCCAUUGGAGGUAACUAAAAACCAUCCAUUUGUUUAAAAAUACAUAGGGAUUAAGGAGAGCGCAGGUAACUUGUUUUUCUUUGGUUUUUAUUAUAUAUUGGGGCUGAUGUGAACUGCCGCCCAGGAGUGAUGGGAGUGAGUGCAGGACUUAUCUUUCUGCAUUUGUAUCCUCUUUCAUGUCUUUAAUAUGUUUGUUGGGGAGGGGAGGGGGGAUCUUUGGUGAGUUCCCACACUUUUCCCCCCAGGACUUGACCCCUGAAUAGCGUAGUGUAAUAUUUUAACUGUAAGAAGAUACAAGUGGGAAAUACCAGUCUUACUCAUGUGUCCUUUGUUUUCAUUUAAACAUAAUAUCCUUGACUUCUUAAGCGACUGGCACUGUAACCUUUUUCGGAACACAAAUCAUAUCUACAUUCAGCAAUGUCUAAAUUCCAUUGAAUACGUAAGACCAACUAGGAAGAAAAGUCAUUAAUUACACUUCAUUGUUUUCCAGAAACAGAUAAAUGGGUUGUAUUUACAAAACAGGACGUUGCAGAAGCUGGGCAGCUUGACUUUUAUCAGUUGUGGUCAUUAUUCUCACUUCAAAAGAAAAUCUACGCACAGCAGACUGUAUUCUAAAGAUUUGGCACUCUAAGCGCUAUAACCACUACAGCUAGCACAUUUUAGUGGUUAUAGAGCAAAGAGUCUGUAGACCAAGCAUGCCAAACUCGCGGCUCACAAAGGUGAUUGGGCAUGGUGACUGGGCACUGUGUAUGUAGUUGUUGAGUACUGUAUUAGUGUGGGUGGAGGAUCAGUGUUGUAUGUGUGAGGCGUAGGCCAAGUGUGUUGUCAUUUUUUCUGACCCGUGUGAUCGUUCUCUAUUACUACUAGACUUGGAGAAAUUGAAAUGGGACAAUUGGGGAUUCUGCAGAAAAACUAAACUCAAAUAGAAAUGGGAACUAAUCCCGAAACAACUGAAAUACCCAAUGGCCUGUUGCUUCGGGAGCCGGGAGCCGCGAGUACAUGCUGGUGUUAUAGCAGAGUAGGCACCUGCUUUCCCCACAUUGCAGGUGCCUACUCUGCUAACACUUACCCGGCCAGAGAGGAGGGCCAUCGAGGGAGCUCAGUAUUCCUGCUCCCUCGCGCGCCGCAUUUAGUGAAGCCGGGCGCAUUCCGGAGCAGGAAGGAAAUCUCCAGACAGAAAAUCCCCACACCAGCUCCCAAAGGUAGGGAACAAUUAAUUAAAUGAUAUGAGUGCAAGAAUGUUUAAGUGUGUGUGUCUGUCAGUAAGUAUUUGUGUCUGUGUGUGUGUGUGUCUGUCUGUGAGUGUGUGUGUGUGUUUGUCAGUGUUGCAUUGACUGCGACUGGACAGUGGAGUACCUGGAGGUGCAUGGAGGCACGCAACGCCACGUAACAUCUGUGGGGAUAUUUAUGGGAUAAUAAUAGUAAACAGUGAAAAUUGCCCACUAAUUCAAUUCUCAGAUCCCAAAGAACGUUUAUCGUGUUAAGUGAGAAGUAUUUCAUAUAAUAAUAUCACAAUGUAUAAAAAUAGAUUUUUAUUUAUAAUGACAAAUUAAUUAAUAAUAAUAAUAUGUAACAUGCGUGACAAUAAUCAAUGAAUAUCCAGUACAAAAUGAUAUGCAAUACAAAGGAAUGGCUAUACAGAUUUCAAUGGCUAAAACAGCAUUUUCUGUCAAGACUUUAUUUAUGACUAUCUUUCACAGACAUAGAGCGAAGUUUCACGCAGAGAACAGAAUUCCUCAGAGUGCAGCGUAAGGUCGUAAAGUUUAGCUGACAGUUAGAAUAACCCUUUCAAUGCUGGCUAGAUCUCCUAAGUAAUUAAGAUCUAUUCUUAUGUAAUUUUAAAUAACAUAACAUUUAAACCAGUUAGUUAGUCAUUUCCUGGAACCAUCCAAUAAGAGAAUCUACCAUAUUUAUAUAAGCAGAAUUUUAAUUGGUCUAACAGAUAUCUUAUAUUAGAGCAAAUCAAUACACCUGGAUAAAAACAGCAGUAUGCUAACACGUGAUAAUAUCACAUUAAUAUAUAAUUAUUCUUAAUUCCACCUGCAGAAUGGAAUGUUUAUAACUAUAUAUUCUUUAGUUAACUAAGAUUUCUUAAUAUGGAAAUCUGACCGUGCUUUAUCCUAGUCAUAUAUCAUGCUAUUAAUACAUUUUAAUUAAUUUAAUUUAAUUAAAUGAAACCAGUAUAAUUACCAGUUGAGUAGAUAUUUCAUCCGAUUGGUAGAUAGUCUCAGAAACUUAUUUGGAUGUCUGUAGGUGCAUGAGUUAUGGUGAAAGGUGGUGUUGGUUAGAAAGUCAGUAAAAUUCUAAGUGUCAGAGUUUUAAGAGUAGAGUGUUUCAGAUGUUGUCCGAGUUGGAGUCCCCAUAUUUCCAAUUCCUCUCUCCUCUUUUUCUUUCUCCUUUGCAUUUCCUUGUCUUCCCUUUGUCUUAACUUUUAAAGGGCCAGACUCUCUGUACGUCAUCAGUUGAUAACCCAAUAGAAGUACUAGAGGUGUGGUUAUCUUCCAGAUCGCAAAUUAGGUAUUUGGUCUAUAGAGGGCAGUCUUGUCCCACUAAACAUACCUAUCCAGGAAAGAGUUAACUUUUCUUGGUGGCUAUUUUGACGUCAUUUUGGCCUAUCUAGAUAGUGGCCAUAACUUACGUAUCCUUCACAGAUCAAAGGGUUUCUUUAAGUUUUGUCCAGACUAUGUGUCUGGCAAAUCCUGCUAUAAUUUCUAAAAUGGCAGAUCAUGAACUAAGUUUAACCUUAAACUUACAAUGGUACCAUAUAUAUAUAUAUAUAUAUAUAUAUAUAUAUAUAUAUAUAUAUAUAUAUAUAUAUAUAUAUAUAUAUAUAUAUAUAUAUAUAUAUACAGUAAAAUUAAAUUAUUUAAUCUUCUCUGUCACAAAUGUCUGGGUUUAGAUUUGAUCUAUUCCAUUAGCAUUUAGACAGUCUGUCCAACCCCCGUUUCUGCUUAUCACUUGUUUAUACUAUGCAUUCCUUUAGCUCUGGGAAAGUGGUUAGUUUACAGAUAGAAAUCUUGUGUCUUUUUGUUAACUUGGAAAUAACAAAAUGGAGUCUGGUCUGUUCAGAGUGACUCAGAAUAUACACUUUUAGUUUCUAUCAUAGCACAAGAUGUCUGCCGAUAUAAAUACCCUGACACAUCGACGUGCUCCACCUUCACAGGGUUUCAAAAAGUAGCCGGAGGAUCAGAUUUGGCACAGGGUAGUAGAGGGGGUGCUGUGGUUUAUUAGAGGGGGGGUGCUCUUUUUUUGUUUUUUUUAAUAUAUAUAUACUGUACUUUUUAAAAUAAAACUACGUUUCUAUGGAAAUUUAGGGUAUUUUUUUGCGGCCCACAUACAGGUGAUACUCAAAAAAUUAGUAUAUCAUGCAAAACUUCAUUUAUUUCAGUUAUGCAAGGUAAAAAGGGAAACUAAUAUAUGAGAGACGCAUUACAUGUAAAGCAAGAUAGUUCAAGCCGUGAUUUGUCAUAAGUGCAAUGAUUAUGGCUUACAGCUCAUGAAAACCCCAAAUCCACAAUCUCCGUAAAUUAGAAUAUUACAUGCAAUCAAUAAAACAAGGAGUGUACAUAGAACAAUAUCGGACCUCUGAAAAGUAUAAGCAUGCAUAUGGAUUCAGUACUUGAUUUGGGGCACAUUUGCAGCAAUUACUGCCUCAAUACGGCGUGGCAUGGAAGCUAUCAGCCUGUGGCACUGCUGAGGUGUUAUGGAAGAGCAGGAUGCUUCAAUAGAGGCCUUCCGCUCUUCUGCAUUGUUCAGUCUCAUGUCUCUCCUCUUUCUCUUGGCAAUCCAUAGAUUCUCUAUGGGGUUCAGGUCAGGCGAGUUUGCUGGCCAAUCAAGCACAGUAAUCCCACGGUCAUUGAACCAGGCUUUGAUACUUUUGGUAGUGUGGGCAGGUGCCAAGUCCUGCUGGAAAAUGAAGCCAGCAUCCCCAUAAAGCUAGUCUGCGGAAGGAAGCAUGAAGUGCUCCAAAAUCUCCUGGUAGACAGCUGCGUUGACCCUGGACUUAAUGAAAUACAGUGGACCAACACCAGGAGUUGACAUGUCUCCCCAAAUCCACACAGACUGUGGAAACUUCACACUGGACUUCAAGAAUCUUGCAGUGUGUGCCUCUCCACUCUUCCUCCAGACUGUGGGACCUUGGUUUCCAAAUGGACUUUGGACCACUGAGCAACAGACCAGGUCUGUUUUUCUUUAGCCCAGGUAAGACGCUUCUGACGUUGUUGUUCAGGAGCGGCUUGACAAGAGGAAUACGACAUAGCCCAUGUCCAGGAUCCGUCUGUGUGUGGUGGCUCUUGAUGCACUGACUCCAGCCUCAGUCCACUACUUGUGAAAGUCCCCAACACAUUUGAAUGACCUUUUCCUGACAAUCCUCUCCAGGCUGCCGUCAUCCCUGCUCCUUGUGUACCUUUUUCUUCCACACCUUUCCCUUCCACAUAACUUUCUAUUAAUGUGCUUUGAUACAGCACUUUGGGAACAUCCAACUUCAUUCACAAUUACCUUUUGAGGCUUUCCCUUCUUAUGGAGGGUGUCAAUGAUGGUUUUCUGCACAACUGUCAGGUCAGCAGUCUUCCCCAUGAUUGUGAUUCCUACUGAACCAGACUGAGAGACCAUUUAAAGGCUCAAAAACCCUUUGCAGGUGUUAUGGCUUACUUAGCUGAUUAGAGUGGGAUACUGUGAGCCUAGAAUAUUGCACCUUUUCACAAUAUUCUAAUUUACUGAGAUUGUGGAUUUGGGGAUUUCGUGAGCUGUAAGCCAUAAUCAUCGCACUUAUGACAAAUCACAAUUUGAACUAUCUUGCUUUGCAUGUAAUGCGUCUAUCUCAUAUAUUUCCCCUUUUACGUUGCAUUACUGAAAUAAAUUAACUUUUGCACGAUAUUCAAAUUUUUUGAAUAUCAGAUGUAAACUUAAACCUUGUUUAUGUGGCCCGUGCCAGACUUUGAGUUUGACAUGCUUGCUGUAGACAGUAUUCUGCCAAUUUGUAUCAGACUGUAGUUGAGUGUUUUUGGAAGAAAAAAAAGGGUUCUCUUGCUGUGGCUCAGCUAUUAAAUUAACUUUUGUAUGAAUUCACUGUAGUGGUUAUGGUGAUCAUUUUAAUUAGAUUCUGACAACAUGGAUGUAGCAAAGCUCUAGUCCUGACAAGGACUUUUCUCCGCUGGACCCGUAGUACUGUAAGUUUGGAACAAGGCACUGUGGAGUGAAUAGCUCUAUCCUUCCCCAGUAACUGGACAACACACAGUUGGCAGUUCUGGGAGUUCAACUGAGUUUUAUUAUGCCACACUCUGCCUUUUAUGCACAGACCCCCCCAACACGGGGCCUCCAUUCCACACAACACAAACUCCUCCCUGAAUACACAGGAACCCUAAAAAUAUUAUAUAUCCGAAUAGCUCAGAUCUGAGUUCCCAAGUUGUCCAAAUAGCGCUCAGAUCCAUUCGAUAAAACAGAUUGCCAUUUGGGUAAAGUUCUGACCAUGAGGUUGUAGCGCAAAAUAGUUCCAGAGGAAAAGAGGCAACUUUCAGAUGUUCCUGUGCGAACACAGACAAAUGCUCACCCUGGAUUUUAGGGCGUGAAUGCUCCUCCAAUUUGUAAUUCUCUUCUCCCGAACGGCGUUCUCCUAACUUGUCUGGGAGCUGAACGGGCAGCGGUACAGUUUUCCCCGGGGUUCGCCAAAGAGAUUUCCACGCGUUUAACUACCAUGUACAGCUGUCUGCACUCGGGAGACAAAAUGGCCACCAUUCACUAGAGCACAUGUGUUCCGUUAUACGAAUGGCGGCCACCAAGGGAAAGCACUUGAGCUAAUUGCUCUUUUGAAGUUAACAAGCCAGGGGUGGUUGGUGUUCAAAGGGUAUAAAAGGGGGACCACACAUUCCCACAUUUGGGAAACUAACAAGGGGGGUACGGACAACCGUACAGAGAGGAAUAAGUCUGCUACAAUGGAAUCUACACUUUUUUUUCUUCUUCUAUAGGAACUGGAUUAAAGCAUUUGGUUCAAAGGUAAAGCAUUAUAACUAAUUCAGAGGGGCCAAAAUGUGGUUUAUAUCUAUUUCCAUUCAAGAGUUGUCUUAGGGUUUUAUACAUUUUGACUCUGAGUGCUCCCAGAUUACAAGUAUAAUGUAUUAUAUUGUAGCCAGGACACCUCUUGCUGUCAGCACCUGUAGAUUUUCUGGAUUUUUUAGUUCUUAUCCAGGACAGAGUGAUGGGCUACCCCCACAUUAUACACUUUAUAUCUGCCCACUUUGUAUUAGUUUCUGGUCAUGAUAAAUUAUGUAAUUAGCGGAUUCGAGAGAUUUUACUACUCGCUCAAGUUCUGCAAUUUUCAGAGAUCCCCAGGACAGUGCAGUAACAUCCACUUGCCAUUGCAGCCCCUACCAGCUUUAAUUAGCCCUGCUUGGGAACACUUUGUCAAGCCCCCAGAAAGUGCUAGAAACAUCUGCUGUUGGAAUAACCGUGUAACCAGGAGCAACUGAGAACGACUGGGGAGAGAGUUCUCUUACUCCUGCUUUCUCUCACUACUAUGAAUUAGAACCUGUGUGCCUCUAGCACAGAAAGUCUAAUGCUGAGAAGUUGAUUGACAGAUGGAGUGGGGCACUAAAUUAAAACCUAAACAUUUUCCGGUAUUUCUACUAACACACUGUAUACAUUAAAAAUAAUGAUGUUUAAUUUAAGACCAAGUUGUGUGUACCAUGAUAGGUACAAUUAAUGUGCAAUCAUCACUUCAUCACUAGUUUUUAAUUAACCUCUUAAGGACAGCAGGCGUGCUAUGCCAUCCUUAGGGACCCGGCUCUAAACGCCAGGGGGCGGCAUAGCACUUCCCCGCUGUUCUUUCUACUUACCCGGUGUGGGGACUCACCUGGCAGCCCAGGGAGUCCCCCUGCUUCCUCUCCGACCCUCCUGGGCCAUGUGAUCACGAGGUCCUUGCGAUCACAUGGACAGCAUAGCUGUACAAGGCAGUGCCAGUAGGGUGUAAUGACAGGUACUGCCCCUGCUGCCUAUAAAAAAAAAAAAAAAAAGUAAAAAAAGAUUAAAACAGUUUAAAAUUGACUUAUAUAUACUUAGAUUAUAUAUAUAUAUAUAUAUAUAUAUAUAUAUAUAUGUGUGUGUGUGUGUGUAUAUAUAUAUAUAUAUAUAUAUAUAUAUAUUAUAUAUAUUAUAUGUAUGAUCUAAGUAUGUGUAUGUGUGUGUAUAUAUAUAUAUAUAUAUAUAUAUAUAUACACACACAUACAUAAAUACACAUACAUAGUCUAAGUGUAUUUUAAUAUUAAUAUAUAUUUAUAUAUUAUAUAAAAUAAAUAUAUGUAAAUAUGUAAAAAAUUCUUAAAAAAUUAUAAAAAAAUAUGUGUAAUUCCAUUCUAACUGUAUUUUAAAAUUAAUAUAUAUAUAUUAAAAAUACACGUAGAACAAAAUAAUUUAUAUAUCUAUAUACAUAAGUAUAUAUGUAUAUAUCACUAUAUGUGUAUAUAUAUAUAUAUGUAUAUAUAUAUAUAUUAUAUGUUGGAAGUCCAUUUGGCCUGAAUUUAUGGGAGGAGUUAUGAUCCUAUUUAAACCCUACCCCCCCCCCGACUUACCUUUGUCGUGAAAGGUGUUUGUCGUCUCCAUAGUUACCUGCACUUUCGGUUCAUCGUUCCUGCCAAGUCCUGUCUCAAGCAGUCUCCAGCAAGCAGUCUGUCGCCAGCAGCUCCUGCCUCCAUUUUCCAUGCCCGUCCACUGGCUUCUAUCCGACUUCGCUACCCGGCUUCCGGUCACGAGACCGGCACGUCCACGUAAGCAUAAACAUGGGAAAUGGCGUUCGUCUAUUUCCCAUGUUCGGGCCUAAAAACGCGGGGAUAGGCUCCCUUCAUUACUUACCCGUUCGUGCUCUUACACUGUUUGUGUACUUCUGUGUUCGUGCGGCUAACAGCCGACCGCAGAGUACACACUCCUUUCGUUUGUAUUUUCGUAUAAACUAACUUAAGACCGCACUGAACUAACUUAUGUUCGACUAUUUCAUCCGUUCGUUCAGCCGACCACAUGUACAAUUGGCUUUCGUUUAAAUCUGUUCAUAUGCUCCAUUUAACCGAACGCAGGAGAUCUUUCUCUUUACAGUUCUCCUGUUCAUUCAUUUAACGCAAGAGGCUACAGUGUUUAAAUUCACAAAUCUACUGUAAAUGUACCUAGUUAUGCCAUUCACUUAAACCAAGCACUCACAUUAUUUAUCCUUUAGGAAUUUGUGUUUUAUUAAAUGGCUCUUAAAGUCACCACUGGUUAAAUAAUAUGUUUCACUAAUUUCCCGUCCAUGGUCACAUAAUUAUCUUUCACAGGGUAAUCUUCUUAAAGGCGCAGUUGGCCACUUCCACUUUAUAAGUUACGUUAAUAAAAAAAUACACCUCCAGGCAUUAUUAUUUAACCCUGCUGGGACUUAGACUAUUUUACUUUCCCUAAUUUAUUAGUCUUCUACGCGACUAAGGUCGCUCCACUCAUAGGUUAAGCCCUUACGGCCCUUUUUCACCAGGCUCAUUGCAGACACUUAGCACGAUUUUAAAAACCUCAGUUUCUUAAAAGUCCUUAUAUACUGGUUCCUUACACUUAGACUGCAUAUGUUUUUAGGGUUUACUACUUUCCUACAAACAGUCUUCAAGAAGUGGUAUCCCAGUAUCCUGUGGGUUCUAAACUUCAAACGGGCCAGGUCUGAGAUUCCUCACUGCGAUUAAAACAUCAAUCACACAAACCUACACCACCUUGCAACUGCUUAUUUUUUUUUUUUUAAUUUGACAAUUUUUAUUUUGUCGGGUUGGGGAGAUGGGGUACAGAAGAAAGCAGGGGGGGGAGGGAGGGGGAACACAGUAUAUAGUAUCCAAGUUCAAUACUUUGUACACAUAGUCAUUUUUACAGUAAACAGUUUGAUUCAGGUGUGCGAGUUUUGGUAUGUGGGCAUCGUUUUACGAUUUGUUGCUAGUCCUCUGUUUGUUUGUGCCUCAUGCUAGAUUACCAUGUGUAACGUGUGGUUGCAGAGGGUGCGUGUUCGUUAAAGUGUUCCAGAGUAGGGGGGGUAUAUUUACACUGUUAAGGUGUGCCUGCUUGAUGAUGUCUUGUGUCUCGUCCCUGCUGCUGUUGGAGUCGUUCACCUUUUUGCUUGGGUCCUUUAGCCUAUCCUUAAGAGUAUGGGUCGGUGUAUAAGGACGUUGUGAGCUAGUAUGCCUGUGUUUUUAUUUGUUCCCUGGGGAGGGAGGGUGGGGUAGUGGGGGCAGGGUGAAUUGGCGGGAUGUGGUAUCCUCUGGUUCUUUUGUUGGGGUUGUGGCAGAAAGAGGGAAGUGCUUCCAUCGUGGAGCAUGUUGUCAGGAAGUGGUUAAGUGUCCUCAUGUGGUGUUUUUAUGUGGUGUGUUGGGUGUGAGUUCAUUUACGGGGUUGUAGCUUGUUCUCGUCCCACAUUUCCCAUGCUGUAGUGUGGUAUGUUGCUUUUGGUCUUGCUUUCCUUGCCAUUAUUUCGUAUUGUUUGGAGUUGUCAAUUGCUUUGAUACAUUGUUCUAUUGUCGGUGGGGUUGUUUGUUUCCAUUUCCUGCUUAUGGUUGCUAGUGCUGAGAUGAUGAUAUGGUAGAGGAGGUAUCUGUGGCUUUUCCGCAGUUUGUUCGGGAGUAGUAGGAGGAGAAAUAUUUCCGGUAGGAGUGGCAGGUGCGUUUUGGUGCAUCUUGCUGCUAGUUCCUUUACUUCCAGCCAGUAUGUCGUGAGUUGCUGGCAGUGCCACCAGAUGUGGAUCAUGGUGCCCUUGUCUGCCUGGCAUCUCCAGCAUAUGUCCGAUGUGUCAGGGAAGCUGGACUUGAGGCGUGCGGGCACCAGGUACCACCUGUAGAGACCUUUUCAGGAGAGUUCCACAUGGUUCAUGCAGAGUGUCAUUUGUUUGUGUGCUUUGUAAAUGUUCUGCCAUUGGGCUUCAGUAAGUGGGUGUUUGAUGUCUUUCUCCCAUGCUGUUUUAAAGGAUGGUUUUUUUUUCGAGGGUAGAUUGUGUUCUGAGGUGUAGAUCAGUGAGAUCAGUUUCUUGGCUGGUUUGGUUGCUAGACAUACCUUUUCGACUUCCAGUAGAGGUGGUUCCGGGAAGGUUAUCGCCAAUUUCCUUGUCUGUAGAGCGAACCAGGCUUGCAGUUGCCUGUAGGGGAAGGCAGCUGUUGCAGGUAAGUGGAAUUCUCGUUGGAGGUCUGGCAGAUGUUUGAGAUGGGAGUCUGUCGUGAGUUGGGAAAGGGUUCGUACGCCGUGUUUGUUCCAUAUUUUGUAGUUGAAGUCCAUGAUGAUGACGCCCAAAGCUUCUAGUGGGAGGGCUGGGGAUAUUUUCGUCAAUAUGCCCAUCUUUUUGCGAUAGUUAUCCCAUAUUGUUAAAGUAAGUUGAGUUGUUGGUAGGAGUGAUUUGUUGCUUGGUCUUUUGUGUUUCGUUAUCCAGGCCAUAGUUGGUAGGGAAAGUCCGUUAGCAUAUCUUGUUUCAAUUUCUGCCCAGGCCAUCGCUUCCUUGUGGUGGAAUGCUGAGAGGAGUGGGGCUAUGUGCGCUGCUCGAUAGUAUCCUCUUAUGUCAGGUAAGCCCAUACCUCCUUGAGAGAGUGGUCGGAACAUAGUGGUGCGCGCUACCCUGGGUUUUGUGUUUUCCCAGACAUAUGUGUUAAUUUGUUCUUGUAUUUCCAGGAGAUGUUUUGUGGGGAGCUGGAGGGGGAGCGUUCUGAAGAGGUAAAAGUAUCAUUUUCGUCGAUGCUAUUCGUCCCAUCCAUGAUACGUAUUUGCCUUUCCAUCCUUGUGUGAUGGAUUUGAUUUCCCCUAAAAGUUUUAUGUAAUUUGCUUUAAAUAAGGUGGUGGGUGUGGGUGUGAAGUUGACCCCUAGAAACUUGAUAUGGUCUUGUCUCCAUUCAUAGUUAAAGUGUGUUUUCAGGGCGUUCAAGUCGUGGUUUGGGAUGUUAAUGCUCAGGGCCUGUGUUUUUGCUAUGUUUAAUUUGUAGAAAGAGCAUCUACUGUAGAGGGCCAGUAUUUUAUGGAAUUGUAGUAGAGAUAUGUGCGAGUGCUCUCAUGAUAGCAAAAUAUCAUCCGCGAACAGCGUUAGUUUAUAUUCCUUCCCUUUUAUGUGCAUUCCGCUUAUGGCGGGGUCAUCUCUUAUCAUUUGGGCCAGGGGUUCGAGUGCCAGGAUGUAUAGUAUUGGGGAGAGUGGGCAGCCUUGGCGGGAACCAUUCGAAAUUUUGAAGGGUUUGGAGAUAAAUCCCCACAUUUGUCACUCGUGCCGUAGGGGAGGAGUAUAGUGCUCUGAUGAGGGCAAGGAAUUGGGGAGGGAAUUCAAAUUUUUGUAGGACCGCUAGUAGGAACGGCCAGUGGAGUCUGUCGAAUGCUUUCUCGGCUUCUAGGGAUAGGAGGAUACUUGGGGCCCUUUUCUCCCGCAGACCGUGUAAGAGGUUUUGUACUUUCCGUGUGCCAUCUGCUCCUUGUCUGCCGCUGACAAAUCCCACCUGGUCCUUGCCAAUUAGCUCGGAGAUGAUGGGGGAAAGUCUGUUUGUGAAGAUUUUUGCGAUGAGUUUGACAUCAGUGUUCAGUAGGGAAAUUGGCCGUAAGUUUUGACUUCUGUUGGGGGUUUUUCCCGGUUUCGGUAGGGUAGCUACAUGAGCCAUUAGCAUCUCUUCUGGCAGUGUUCCAGUUUGUAAUGUGUGGUUGAUUAGUUUGUUUAAGUGGGGGGCCAGGAUGUGUGCGAAUUGUUUGUAGUACGAGUUAGUUAACCCGUCGGGGCCGGGGGAUUUCCCUAAGGGGAGUGUAUGAAUUGUGUCUAUUAUUUCUUGGACCGUUACUGGGGCCUGAAGGCUUUGUUUGUGUGUUAUGGAUAGCGUGGGCAGUGUUGUUUUUUGGAGAUAAUCUUUUAUGUCUUCGUUUGAAGGUUGGUGUAGUGCAGGGUCAUCUUUUAGGUUAUAUAGCGCUUGGUAGUAAUCUGCCAUUUCAUCGUUUAUGUCUUGUGGGUUGUGGAUUUUUCCUCCCUCUUUAGUGAGCAGGUAUGGGAUUUUAGAGUUCGCUUGUUUUUGUCGGAGGAUGGUUGCUAGGUGUUUCCCUGCUCUAUUGCCUUGUGUAUAUGUUUUCAUCUUCAACUUCGUUAAGAUAUGAGUUGUCUUGCUUAGAGCUAGUGUGUUGAUUUGGUUGGUUAUGAGUGCUAUAGACUUGGCUAGUUCUUCAGACGGUUUAAAUAGGUGUUCGUUGGUCGUGUCUCGCAGUUUCCUUAGAAGAUCCAAGUGUUCCCGUUCUUGUUGUUUUUUCAGGAAUGAUGCUUGGCUUAUCAGGAGGCCUCUCAUGACAGUUUGGUGGGCCUGCCAAAUGGCUGCGGCGGAGGUUUCCGGGAGAUCAUUGAGUUCGAAGUAUGUUUGCAGGCUGUUCAUGAGUUUUGUCGUGAAUACGGUGUUGUGAAGCAGGUUGUCAUUUAGACGCCACGGUGGUUUUCCUCUGUGUUGGUAUUGAGUUAGUAUGGUCAUUGUAAGCGGUGCAUGGUCAGACCAGACUAUAUUCCCUAUGGUGCAGUCAGUGAUGGCCGGGAGAAGGGUGCCUGAUAUCAGGAUAUGGUCAAUCCUUGAGUAUGUUUUGUGGACUUGUGAGUAGAACGUGUAUUCUCUUUCGUUCGGGUUGCGUGUUCUCCAUGUGUCGUAUAGUCCGUAUUCGUGGAUCAGUUUCGUGAAGGCUUUGUUCGCCGUCUUUAAGUUAGCGUGCCUAGCGGAGUCGGCCUUUACUGUGGAGUCCAUGUAGGAGUUCAUGGUGUGGUUAAAAUCUCCGCAGAUAACUUUAGGUGUGUUCGUCGAAUUUGGCGAGGAUUUUAUGUAGGAAGUUUCUUUGUUGGUCGUUUGGGCUGUAUAGGCAUACCAGCAAGAAUGGUAGGUUGUUCAGAAUGCAGUGUAGGAUCAAGAACCGACCUUGGCUGUCUUUUUUAACAUGGAGUAUUUCCGUAGUUCGUGAUUUAUGUAAGAGAAUAGAGACUCCUCGCGAUUUUGAGGAGUGGGUGGCAUGGUACUGAGUGGGGUAAUCUUGGAGGGCGAAUGUGGGGGUUCUGUUGGUGGCAAAGUGUGCAACUGCUUAUUUAACGGUACCCUUCUUCUCUAUUGUUUCUACAUUUCUUCACUCAGACCUGUGUCAUUACUGCAGUUUCGCCAAGUUACACGGCAUCAACCACCAACAAGACUACCUGUUUCCCUGCAUUUCAGUCUCCGGUAUUGUUAAAUCUUACUCACUACGAUUACAUUUCUCCUUAAGGCCUCACUUCGCCUUUGUAUCAUGUAAAUUACCCAAUCAGGGGAUCCCAGGGGGCUUGUCUCUACUUAUGGACCAACGGAUUCUUACGUUACAGUUUCACGAUUACACUAUACCCAUACGUUUGACAUUUUUACACUUGGCAUACCAGUGGCACACCGCAGGCCCUCUAGCAUCUUUAUUACCCUUAGGAUAUCUUCACCCGACCCUGCAGAAGCAAGAAUAUAUUGAAAUCUUCCUGCGCAUUGACCAAAGAAAUAGGACAAAACUCAAGGUUAAGUAUAUACAUAUGUUCCAUUACAUCAUUCAAGGAGACAAGCCCCAUCAGGCUAGUGAACUGGCAUUGAGAGUUAGGCGUUGGCCUUAGCUAUCCUAAGUAAUACUACGGUCCCGCAAAGUCUACACCCCUACGUGGAGGUUCAGCCCCACGACCAAAUCAUAGUUAGCUACCUCACUCCCCCUUCUUUAGGGCUACAGCUAGGGCUUCCCAAGUCACAGCCACACGUUUUGAAUCUCUUACGAUCACCGUCAGGCCGACACCCUGCCACCACGUUUAAGUGGCCACAAAAUUCCCUCAGCCCGAAUCAUAGGUAGAGCCUUUCUCCACCACUUGGCACUAGCAGGGCCUCACCUGUCACUUGGUUCUAGGUAAAUUCUUCGCCUCGGCACUAGUUAGCAGGCCAGUUCUCUGAAGGUCUCAUCCACACCUCUAAGACACAUUACUUAUCCAAAUCAUUAUUCCUUUUUCAGAAUGUCACAAGAAUCCAUCCCAAUAAUCGGUCUGCUGUUGGACGAAAUACCCUGCACGCCAAUCAGGCCUGGGUCUCCGAAGUAAUCCCUCACCUUUUCUACCCUCAGUUACCUGGGAUUCUGGACCAUUCCUAAAAUGUCAGCAGAGCUCAGACACAGGGGUAUCCCAUCUCCAGCCACUGCCAGUACUACACAGGCUCACAACGGCUCAGGCCAACAUCCCCAGGCCCGGCAUCAAGUUCACAAGGGCCACCAGCUUACUCCUCAGAUUCCAGUCAGGAGACCCGGUCGCUGUCCCUGCCAGCCUCCAAACGAUCAACAGGCUGGUAAGUGGAAUUGGCUAUAGUCACACCAGGUGUCUCGUUAAGCCUGGCAGUCCCCUCCCCUGGCGAUCUCGGUCAUACAGUCUGGCUUACCCCUCAUUUCCCUCCUCGUCCCCCACCACCCACUAUCACUACUCCAUACGUCUCACCGGCCCACUCUGUUCCAAUUUCCAUGGAGAAGGAAAUUCUCGAUGGAAAGGAUGUUAAACUAACAUCACUACUUAACUUCCCAAGACACCCUAUAGUACAAAGGUUAUAUUCAUGGUGGCAUUUCAGUAGUCCUAAAGAGUGAGACCCACGACUUAAAUCCUUCCAUUCCUCUGUUUGUCAUUGCCUCUCUCAUAGAGACAGCCACUUCCACUUCUCACCACUGCUUCACCCCACGCACUAGACGGGAGGCAGAGGGACAAGCUAGGCUGACCAUUUAAUUUCUGGGGAAGGCUCGGGUGCACCAUCACUUUAAUGCUGGGGUAUGCUAUUUCACUACAUGCAGGGUAUCGCAUAUCUGCUCCAGAGUCCACAUAUACAGACCGUCUGUCACCUAAGAUAUGCCUAACUAAGGUUAACAUUGAUAUCCUGGUAUACUAUCUGCAUUUACACCCAGCUAGGCAUCUGGUAGAUUCUAGUGCCGGGUUUCUCACAGGCCUUAUCGCCAUUCCCACAGGUACACUCGUAUGCCUAACCUAUUAUCUGCAUCCAUUGACCCUCUUAUGAUGGACCACCUUCUGUCCACAACUAUCAUACGCUGGUUUCACGGGCCCAUCCAUCUGGCCCAUCAAGACUCACUCUCAUUUCAUCAGUCCAUAAAACCUUAGAAAAAUCAGUCUUGAGAUAUUUCUUGGCCCAGUCUUGACGUUUCAGCUUGUGUGUCUUGUUCAGUGGUGGUCGUCUUUCAGCCUUUCUUACCUUGGCCAUGUCUCUGAGUAUUGCACACCUUGUGCUUUUGGGCACUCCAGUGAUGUUGCAGCUCUGAAAUAUGGCCAAACUGGUGGCAAGUGGCAUCGUGGCAGCUGCACGCUUGACUUUUCUCAGUUCACGGGCAGUUAUUUUGCGCCUUGGUUUUUCCACACGCUUCUUGCGACCCUGUUGACUAUUUUGAAUGAAACGCUUGAUUGUUCGAUGAUCACGCUUCAGAAGCUUUGCAAUUUUAAGAGUGCUGCAUCCCUCUGCAAGAUAUCUCACUAUUUUUUACUUUUCUGAGCCUGUCAAGUCCUUCUUUUGACCCAUUUUGCCAAAGGAAAGGAAGUUGCCUAAUAAUUAUGCACACCUGAUAUAGGGUGUUGAUGUCAUUAGACCACACCCCUUCUCAUUACAGAGAUGCACAUCACCUAAUAUGCUCAAUUGGUAGUAGGCUUUCGAGCCUAUACAGCUUGGAGUAAGACAACAUGCAUAAAGAGGAUGAUGUGGUCAAAAUACUCAUUUGCCUAAUAAUUCUGCACUCCCUGUAUAUCAUUUUAUUCAGGGGAAACAGUGCUAGCAAAUUAGAUUCCUUAUACUUUCGGCCUGGGAUGUCAGGCAGGUCCCGCAAAUUGUAAUUAAUAAAAUGACGUAAUUAUGUAACUGUAUUACAUAAAUAUAUAUAUGUAGAAUUAUUAUUAUAUAUAUAUAUAUACACAUAUACAUAUAUAUAUAUAUAUAUAUACAUACAUACACACACACACACACACACACACACACACACAUACAUAUAUAUAUAUAUUUGUGCUCGGAAUUUCUAAUACGUAAUGGAAUGUAGAAGGAGAAGCAAAGUUGGUAGAGGUGUGCCGAAACCAACAUACGAGUAGGCCUGUAAUAAAAGAGGGCCCACAAAGGUGAAUUGUUAAUAUAGAUGGGUGUAGGUGGGUGGGGACAAACAGCUUGCACGACAAAGGUAAGUAGGGUGGUAGGGUUUAAAUAGGAUCAUAACUCCUCCCAUAAAUUCAGGCCAAAUGGCCUUCCAACUUGUGCUCGGAAUUUCUAAUACGUAAUGGAAUGUAGAAGGAGAGGCAAAGUUGGUAGAGGUGUGCCGAAAUAAACGUACGAGUUGGUAAUAAAAGAGGGCAAAAGAGGAUUCAAAGAAAAAAUACUUUAUUGCAAGUUUAUACAGCUUGGGUACUGAAAGCUUGUAAGGAGCUUUUACUCUGAUUGAGGUAUAUAUGUAACUAAGCUGAGAAUUACCUGUUGCCCCAUCACUUAGUGAUGUAGACUGGGGUGUAAGAGCUUGAAGCUGCUGCUGCAGCGCUUUUGCGAAAAAGAGAGACCAGCGAAGGAAGCCAUGAUGUAGCUCACGUUUAGACGUGAAGUAAUGGAUUAGGACUGAUAGUGUGUGGUUGACCUUGGAUACGUAAAAGCAGAGUGACAGCAUAGGAGGUAUAAGUAAGAUGCUUGACUUGUAGGUUUAGCGGAAGAGGCAAAAAUUACCAUAGUUUAACCGCAAAAGUCUUGAAUCAAGCAAACUUUACUUGUGACAUGGUACAAAAUACAAAGCCCUGGCGUGAUUGCUAUAGUAAUCGUGAAACUGCGUGACGCAUGCGUACCUGUACUAAGUGUAAUUGUGUGCUUAGUCCAAGAUUAGCUCGUGGAAAGGAGGUAUCCUGGUUGGUAGGUAGUGGGUCAUAGGGAGUGCCUGAAAAAAGACCUUAAAUUGAGCGUGAAAGAACGUCAGCGGCUGUGUUGUAGACACCAGGAAUGUAAAAGCAGACUAAAAAGAGCGGAGAGGUUGCUGCCAGCCAAGUCAGCCUGAAAAUCGAGGAUGGGCGCUCUUGUUAAUGAUGUUGCAGGCUGCGGAGUUGUCAGAGCAGCAUUUAACUGCCUUGCCGGUCCAAAGAUGACCCCAUGUGAGGGUGGCCGCCACGAUGGGGUAGAUCUCCGACAAAGUAGAAGUCUCUCUAAAGGCCGGCAAGGCAUCCGUCACAGUGGGCCAGGCAUCCCUAACCAGUGGUUGCCUGGUGACAGAGGGACCCCGAGUGUCGUGAAAAGGAGGCUGUGGUGGUGUGAACACUGUUAGGUGUUUGUGAACCUUUUAAAUCAACAAAAAAUUCAUCCAGAUAGUGGAUGACUGAUGGACACCUGAAUAUUUUUAGGAGUGGCCAACAGAGGGUUUGUGCGAAGAUGUUGAAUACUUAGUGCUGCUCCUAGGCCAUAGUGAAGGGUGAAUAGGUGCUAGAUUAAAGGCGUUGGCUAAGUCUGUCUUGCUCAACCAGGCCUCACUACCUGCUGAAGUGAUAGCUUGCAUGGGAUCUUCGAUUUGCGCAGUGCAGGGAGAACUCCUUAGCGGGAAUGAGGGAGUUGAUGCUGGGAAUGGAUGUAGAGUGCGGUGCGGAAGAGGUCUAUGAUCCUACGUAUUAUAGGGUAUUGUGAAUGGCUGCCUCAAUGGGAUUGGUACGCCAAGAUGAGAAGUGUGAAGACCGGAAAGAGGCGAUAAAGGGCAGAGAACUCCAGUCCGACUCAGACGCCAGCAAGGUGGAGGUGGAGUACUGGUUUGGGCUGGUAUCAUCAAAGAUGAGCUUGUGGGGCCUUUUCGGGUUGAGGAUGGAGUCAAGCUCAACUCCCAGUCCUACUGCCAGUUCCUGGAAGACACCUUCUUCAAGCAGUGGUACAGGAAGAAGUCUGCAUCCUUCAAGAAAAACAUGAUUUUCAUGCAGGACAAUGCUCCAUCACACGCGUCCAAGUACUCCACAGCGUGGCUGGCAAGAAAGGGUAUAAAAGAAGAAAAUCUAAUGACAUGGCCUCCUUGUUCACCUGAUCUGAACCCCAUUGAGAACCUGUGGUCCAUCAUCAAAUGUGAGAUUUACAAGGAGGGAAAACAGUACACCUCUCUGAACAGUGUCUGGGAGGCUGUGGUUGCUGCUGCACGCAAUGUUGAUGGUGAACAGAUCAAAACACUGACAGAAUCCAUGGAUGGCAGGCUUUUGAGUGUCCUUGCAAAGAAAGGUGGCUAUAUUGGUCACUGAUUUGUUUUUGUUUUGUUUUUGAAUGUCAGAAAUGUAUAUUUGUGAAUGUUGAGAUGUUAUAUUGGUUUCACUGGUAAUAAUAAAUAAUUGAAAUGGGUAUAUAUUUGUUUUUUGUUAAGUUGCCUAAUAAUUAUGCACAGUAAUAGUCACCUGCACACACAGAUAUCCCCCUAACAUAGCUAAAACUAAAAACAAACUAAAAACUACUUCCAAAAAUAUUCAGCUUUGAUAUUAAUGAGUUUUUUGGGUUCAUUGAGAACAUGGUUGUUGUUCAAUAAUAAAAUUAAUCCUCAAAAAUACAACUUGCCUAAUAAUUCUGCACUCCCUGUAUGUAUAAUAAGUGUGGAUGCACAUAUGAAAGACGCAAAUUACGCCUGAACAGACAUAUAGCGCAAAUUCAAGUUUUUGUUUACGUUUUGAUCACAACGUGUCCUUAAGGGGUUAAAGUGAGCAGCUGCUGGCUGCUCAUGGUUUAGUAUAUAUACCCCCACAAUCAUUAAGUUUAAAAUUAGGAAACAAACAAAACAGCCUGUCCACUGACAGUUUUGUUUAUUUUGUGAUUCGGUCAUAUGGCAGUUUGGAAUUUCAGACAAUUUACUGAUGGGCCAAAAUUUGAUCAAAUUGCAUUUUUUUCCAGAAAGUGGAUGCACAAUUUUAUAAAAGUAAUUUAAAAAAUGUUGGAGGAUUUGUCCAAUGGUUCUCAUCUACACUCUCAUUCAAUGUGUCAUGUUUGGUUUAAUACAAAUAGAGCAAGUCACAAGCCACAUCUUCUUUCCCAUCAGAUAAAUGGUGGAAUGGAAACUAUAAGUUAAGUAGUCUGGCUAUCAUUCUAAUUCAAGAUGGAUAUCUACCAUUUGGCCCACCAUAGUGCCAGGAAAACAAACUCGUUUUCCUGGCACUAUGGUGCCCCCACCCUCAGGGUCCCACUACCGUAGCGAGGAAAGGGGAGGAAGGAAUUUCUACCUUUUCUCCAGCGCCGGGCUCCCUCGGCACUGGGACUCUCCUCCCUCUUUUGACGUCACUGGCUGAAUGCCCAAGCGCGGCAAGAGCCACGCGCUCGCAUUCAGCCAGUCUCAUAGGAAAGCAUUGUCAAUUUCCACAGUGAGAAGCGCGGAAGUGCCUCUAGCGGCUGUCAAUGAGACAGCCACUAGAGGCUGGAUUAACCCAUACAUUUACAGCAAAAAGGGUUAAACCUAGAUGGACCUGGCACCCAGACCACUUCAUUAUACUCCCUCUAGCAUGUAAGCUCAUUGAGCAGGGCCCUCAACCCCCUCUGUUCCUGUACGUCAGUGGUCUGAUCUCAGUUAUGUGUCUGUUAGUCCACCCAUUGUACAGCGCUACGGAAUUUGUUGGCGCUAUAUAAAUAAUAAAAUAAUAAUAAUUAAGCUGAAGUGGUCUGGGUGCCUAUAGUGGUCCUUUAAAGGACCACUAUAGUGCCCUGAGGGUGCCCCCACCCUCGUGGCACCCCUCCCGCCGGGCUGAAGUUGGAGGAAGGGGUUAAACAAUUACCUUUCUCCAGCGACGGGCUCCCUCGGCGUUGGGGACUCUCCUCCUCCUUUGGACUUCAUCGGCUGAAUGCGCAUGCGCGGCAAGAGCCACGCGCGCAUUCAGCCAGCCCAUGGAUGCUGGCGUCUUCUCACUUUGAAAAUCACAGCGAGAAGCGCGGAACCGCCUCUAGCGGCUGUCAAUGAGACAGCCACUAGAGGCUGUAUUAACCCAUAUGUAAACAUAGCAGUUUCUCUGAAACAGCUAUGUUUACAGCAGGCAGGGUUAAAGGACCACUCUAGGCACCCAGACCACUUUAGCUUAAUGAAGUGGUCUGGGUGCCAGGUCCCUCUAGGAUUAACCCUUUUUUUUAUUUUUAUUUUUUAUAAACAUAGCAGUUUCAGAGAAACUACUAUGUUUAAAAAUAGGUUUAUCCAGCCUCUAAAGCCUCUAGUGGCUGUCUCAUUGACAGCCACUAGAGGCGUUUGCAUGCUUCUCACUGUGAAAAUCACAGUGAGAAGACGCCAGCGUCCAUAGGAAAGCAUUGUAAAUGCUUUCCUAUGAGACUGGCUGAAUGCGCGCGCAGCUCCAGCCGCGCAUGCGCAUUCAGCCGGAGAGGAGGAGGAGAGCUCCCCGCUCAGCGCUGGGAAAAAAAGGUAAGAUUUAACCCUUUCCUCUCCCCAGAGCCCGGCAGGAGGGGGACCCUGAGGGUGGGGGCACACUCAGGGCACUGUAGUGCCAGGAAAACGAGUAUGUUUUCCUGGCACUACAGUGGUCCUUUAACCUUAGAGGGACCUGGCACCCAGACCCCUUCAUUGAGCUGAAGUGGUCUGGGUGCCUAUAGUGGUCCUUUAAAUGGAGGGAGUAAGAGGGACCAUAUUUCCACAUCCUGAUUAAUUAGAGGUCUGAGGGAACACUGUUUGUUUCUCAAAGUUUGUCCACCGAAGUUACUCCACCAUGCUGCGUGAAGGUCGCCGUGAUCAAUAUUUUUACUUCAAAUGAGGCAGCCUUUUUUGCAUAAUUGAGGCUGCCUCUUAAACAAUAUAACAAACAAUUAUUGCGAAAGGAAAUACCUUUCUUUUCCCCAUUCUGGCACACCAUACUUUUAUUUUUAGAACUACACUUCCUUUUCUUGGAAAGUCAUGCAACACUAUCAUGUUAACAUGUACUGACUGAUAUUGCUAUAGAAUUUGAUUCAAAAGGUGCAAAGUCCUUUGGUUUGUGUAACUUUGGAAUUUAAAGGACUUUUCCCCCCUCAAAUCAAGAACACUCUGGGCACUAUAACAACUUAAUCAAAAUAACAUUUUUAUGGUGCCAGGAGCUCCCUGGUGCUGGCUCCCAUUUAGGACUUAAACAGUUUGCUAACAAUUUAACCCCAAAGUUUGUGUUUCGGUGCAGUAUCUCCCUGCCUCUCUACCCUUCCAUUUUCUUAAAUUAGUUAAACCAGAAGGCUCUAGCAGAAUCAGGUGAUGGUGGCAAUGAUUGGCUGAGAGAGUGUUCAUCUGAUGCUUUCAACUAAUCCAUGACUUCCCGUUCAUAAAAUUGGCUUUGUAAAGGUACGUGAGCCAGUGCCAGAGAUCUCCUGCCACUAUAACAAUUAUAAUUUCAAUGGUGCCACAACUGUUUGUUUUUUUUUUGUUUUUUUUAUCUCAAUAAAGUUGUUUUGAGGCCUGGAGAUCCUGUGUGAAGUCUAAACUUAAGCUAAAUAAAGUGCUCCCAGGGAGACCAUUAUUUUUUUUGAGUCAUUGGGAAGCAUUGCAUGCUGCCAUGCCGUUAAAUGGCUGAGCGCCUCACCUGACACUCUCAGCCAAUCACUGGCACCACAUGGUUCUCAAUGAUUUCCAUCUUGCUUAGUAUGGUGUCAGAGCGGUGGGUGGGGGCCCUAAUAGGUUCCCCCCUUACUAUCAUUUUGGGUCCCCACCCACCGCUCAUAUGUGGGGGACGGGGGGAGGACAAUAGGUCAGGGGCUAGGGGGAGGGGCCUAGGUACCCCGUUCAUUGUAAUAGCCACUCACAUGGCACGGGUCGGGGUUGGGGGGAGAGUAAGCAGUCACUGUCUACUAGACAUGCCUCUACUCGCAGUAUAGUGAGUAGGGGCAGAAUUUACUAAUACUAAGUAAUCUUUUGGUAGAUAGCUCACUAAUUCCCAUGGUAUCAAGAAGCUAUCUACUAAGCGGGUGGAAGAUGCAGCCGCAGCACGAAUAGGAUUGGAGUUUCAUUCAUAUGAAUGAAAUUCCGAUACAAACAAAGUCUCUAAAUGUGUCCUUACAUGAAUGAACAAACUGUUCUCAUUCUGUUAGGACAAAAUUCUGUCGUUUUGCUGGCGUUCUGUCUAAGUGACCGGAUGUUCGGGAAUACUGACAGGAAGCAUCGCAAGAUCACGGAGGAAAGGUAAGAAUUGUGGGAAAACAGCUUUGAUCACCAGAAACGAAGCACUUUGUCUUAUGUUUUAAACAAAACUAGAGCAGACAGGAAGAAAUGAAGAACAGAUCCUGACAGAGGGAGAGAAGAGGAAUCGAUUGGGGAAAGGUAAGUUCGACAUGACAGUGCCGCUUUAAUACCUAGUAAUUCUGGUUCAGGAAACCGUUUAUAAUAACAUAAAAUAACUAAAUGAAAAAUUAGUAACACUUAAAAAUAUACAGAAACUAUAUAGUGUAAUAUUGCCACAUUUACUUGAAAAAAACUAGGCUAAAAACACUUACUUGGUAUAAAUGGGAAUCUGGCAGUCAAGUAAGACUGCAGGAUGCAGGCACAGAGCACCACAAAAAGGAACACAAUCCCACAGAGAGGGGAAAAAAAAGGUUCUGGGACUCUCUCGUGCGUCUCUCUUGGUCAUACCCCAUAACACCACUUGCAUUUUUAAUGAAAAAUUGUUGCAAUUUAAAAACCAAGUGGUUCAAUCAUUUCUAUCCAGAAAAAGACACUGAUAGAUGCAUAGCCAAGUAUUUAUGAAAACAGAAAAAUUAAGAAUGUUGGUGCAUUAAGAUAAAUAAUUGGGGUCAUAUUUUACUAGUGACCAUUGAAAUAUAUACUUUUUUAAAACUAUAUAUGUAAUUAAGAACAGAAUUAAAAAAAAUUAUAUAUAUAUAUAUAUAUAUAUAUAUAUACUUCCAUCCACAUCAUUUUUUUAAAGUAAAACCUCAGUAUAAAGAAAGAAAAAUCACCCACAAAUAAUCGUGCUGCUUAUUGAUUAUUAUUAUGUUAUUAUUUAUAUAGCGCUAACAAAUUCUGCAGCGCUUUACAAAUAGGUGGACGAACAGACAAGUAGUUGUAACCAGACAAGUUGGACACACAGGAAAAGAGGGUUUGAGGGCCUGUUCAAUGAGCUUACAUGCUAGAGGGAGUGGUGUAAAGUGACACAAAAGGUAAGGAUAGUAUUAGACUAAUGACAGUUGUAAGAGAGAAAUCAGUCGGGAGCUAUUAACAGUUUAAUUGAUACGCUUUUAUGAAGAAGUGGGUUUUUAAUGAUUUUUUGAAGGAGUGGAGACUGGGUAGGGAAGUGAGUUCCACAGGAACGGUGCAGCCCUCGAGAAGUCUUGAAGGCAAGUAUCAGAGGUGGGAGUACGGACAGAAGAUAGAUGUAAGUCUUCAGAAGAGCGUAAGGGCCUAGACGGGACAUAUAUUAGGGAGGAUAGAUAGAUGGGAGCAGCAUUAUGUAGAGAUUUGAAAGCAAGAACCAGAAUUUUAAAUUGAGCCCUAUAUCUUACAGGAAGCCAAUGUAGGGACUGACAGAAGGGUGAGGCGUGGGAGGUGCGGGCGGACAGAAAGAUGAACCUCGCCGCCACAUUCAUUAUGGCUGUAAUGGUGCACGUAAGAUCACUGAGAAGCGGAUUACAGUAGUUAAGGCUAGAAAGGACAGUGGAAUGGAUCAGCACCUUAGUCGCAUCUGGCGUUAAGUAGGGUCAGAUGUGCGCAAUGUUUUAGAGAUGGAAGUGGAAUCAAUGUAUCGUCGCCAUAGGACCAGGUUCUCCCCCCAGUUAUGACCAGACCACACGAAGAGGUCCUCCCAUCUACACAUGUAAGUGUUGGCAUAGUUUGGGGCAAACGUGGUACCCAUGGCGUUUCCCAUAAUCUGCAGGCAAAACAACCCAUCGAAGAAAAUAUAAUUAUGUUCCAGUAUAAACCUAAUUCCUAUUGAAAUAAAAGUUUUGAGACCUUGGGAGAUCUCAUUAUUCUGAUUCAUAAAAAAAUUAACUGCCUCCAAUCCCAAAUCAUAGCUGGUAACUGUAUAAAGCGAGGCCACAUCAAGUGUGGCCCAACUAUAAUUCUCUUUCCAUUCAAUAUUUUCAAUUUCUUGAAGAAAUGAUUUAGUAUCUUUUGUGUAUGAUAAAGCCUGUUGUGCAUAUUUUUGCAAAUCGAAAUCUAAAAAGGCAGACAGAUUCGCUGUGACUGAAUCUAUACCACUAAUUAUGGGGCGUCCUGGGGGGCUUGUAAAUUCUUAUGAAUUUUUGGGAUAAAAUAAAAAAAUUGGAAUCACAGGAUAUGUAUUCCACAAAAAAAAAUCUAAAUUCUUAUUAGAAAUUAUGCCCUCUUUCUUUGCUUUACCCAAAAACUCUUUCAGAGCUUUAUUAAAGACCAGUGUGGGAUCACUCUUUAGUUUUCUAUAUGGUUUUUCAUCUGCCAAGAUGUUAAAGGCUUCUUGUCGAUAGUAUUGGGAAGACAUAAUAACUAUGGCCCCACCCUUGUCUGCCUCUUUGAUAAUAAUAUCCUUUCUUGAGGUCAGAUCUUUUAAUGCCAUUUGUCCCCCCUUUGUCAAUUUUGUGUUUUCUUCCUUUUAUUUGUAUUGGAUUCAGUUAACAUAUUAAAAUCUUUUUACAGCCUAUUCUCAAAGGUCUCCAAAUGCUUGUACUGGGAAAAUUUGGAUUUAGGUUUAAAUUGUUCUUUAGAUUGUUUUUUCAGUAUUUGCAGAUGACACAGAACUCUCUAAAUUAAUACAAUGUGGGCAGGAUAUUGCUUUGCUGCAGAGGGAUUUAGACAUAUUGGGGGACUGAGCACUCAAAUGGCAGAUGAAAUUUAAUGUAGAAAAAACAAUGCACAAGAAAUUUACACCCUAAAUGGUAUUGAAUUAGGAAUAACCUAACAUAGAUUAGAUGAAUUUCACUGCUCUGGUGCGCUUGUCUAUGUUCGGUGACAUUUCCCCAAACGUAGAUAUACGCACUAGAGCAGGGAAUCCCUCUAAUCUAUGUUCGGGGAAAAUUCCCUGAACAUAGACCAGCUCUCUAGCGUGGGGAAUCCCUUGAAUCCCCACACUAGAGAGCUGGUUGUAAGUGUGUCCAUCGCAAGACAGGUAGGUCGCAAAGUGAGGGCCACCUGUACAAAUAUAUUCAGGGCCAAUACAAACUCCCUGUUACUAUCCUCCUACUCACGGUCACUGCCUCUCCACCCCCCUUCCCCCUGUCACUGCCCCUCCAUCCCCCUUCCCCCUGUUACUUCCCCUCCACCCCACCUACCUCGCUACUGCCCCUCCAUCCCCUACCCCCUGUCACUGCCCCUCCACCUCCUCUACUUCGUCACUGCCCUCCACCCCCCCUACCCCCUGUUACUGCCCUGUUACCCUGUUACUAUUCCCUGUCACUGCCCCCCUCCACCCCUACCUCCUGUCACUGCCCCAUCCCCUACCCCCUGUUACUACCCCUCCAUCCCCCUACCCCCUGUUACUACCCCUAUCCCCCAGCCUGUUACUGCCCCUCCAUCCCACUAACCUCUGUCACUGCCCCCCUACCCACUAACCUCUGUCCUGCCCCCCUUCAGGCGGCUGCACUUCCCAGUGGCCUUCCCCUCCACCCCCUGUUACUACCCGUCACUGCCCCUCCACCCCCACUACCCCGUUACUGCCCCUUACACAGCCACUCCAACCCCCACCCUGUCACAGCCCCUCAAGCCCCCACACAAUGUCUUUACCACAAUUACCCUAUCACAUUAACCCCCCUCAAUCCUGUCAGACUCACCUUCUCUUGCACUGUCGCACACAGUCCCCAACCCAGUCACACUCAUCCUCUAUCAGUCUGUUCCACUCACACCAUUCACACUGUCACACUCACCCUACCACAUAAGCCCCUCCAAACCUGUCCUCCAGCUGUGCCAAACUCACCCCAAAACCUGUAACACUCUCCCCCCAACCCUGCCGCACUCACCCUUCCACAUUUAUCUAAUCCUGCCACAUUAACCCACUUAAUCUUGUCACACUCACCAAAAAAGCCGCCCCCAAACGCCCAGGCAGAUGCUUUGUUUUCUUCAUGUCCUGGUGGGCUCGAGCUGUUCAUCUGGCAACUUUUGAGGCCCCCCAAGGCUGGCCGAAGUUUCUAUCGCGACGCUUAAUGAAGCUGGGAGCUGGAAUAUGACGUCACUCCGGCACCCGGCAUCACUAAGCGGCGCGUGAGGGAGCUGAGCAAGAAUAUUAGAGCUCCCUCGCCGCCUACUCUGCCUGUCCGCCCCCUGUCUGCACAUGAAGCAGUCCCACUGGACUGCAAGUAAGUAAUCCACUCCAUCUCUCCCAGGGAGGUUGGGUGGAUUUAAAUAAAAAUAAUAAUAAUUUGUGAGUGUUGAGGGAAAUGUAUGUCUGAGUGAAUGUGUGUGUGUCUGUAAGUGUUUAUACCUGUGAGUGAGUUAAUGUGUCUGUAAGUGAAUGUGUGUGUGUGUGUGUGUGUGUGUCUGUCAGUGUGUCAAAUCAUUGGGUGUUUAUGUCAUUGUUUGUCAGUGUAUAUGAGAGUGUGUCUGUCAAUGAGUGUAUGUGUCUGUUAUUACGUGUGUGCGUCUGAGUAAUAGUGUGUGUCUGUCAGUGUGUCAAAUCAGUGAGUGUGUGUGUAUGUCAUUGUCAGUGUAUAUGAGAGUGUGUGUGCCUGUCUGUCAGUGAAAGUAUGUGUUGGUUAAACAGUAUGUGUGCCAAUGACUGUGUAUCUUUUAGUGAGUGUAUGUCUGUGAAUGCAUUAGUAAGAAAGUGUCUGUCAAUCAAAGUACAGCCUUGACAGGAAGGGAUGGGGAAAUUUUAAAUAUGGGGGUGGGGGAGAAUCCAAAAUACACCACUGGUUAUGGUGCUGAUAAGAUUGCUAUCAACAGUGGAGUGCAUGCCCGUCAUCUAUACAAAGUAGCCUUUCUGGCAUCCUAGUGUAAACUUAAUUGAACUUUAUUAUUCUUUCUAGGUUCAGGAUUUCAUAUCUAUGCAGUUUCUACAGUUUCCCUCUUUUUUUUUUUUCUUAUAUAAUACCAGAGAUAUGCCAGGUAGUAAAUUGGACUAAAAAUACUUUGCUAUGCUACCACAAAAAUGGGUAUGGCACUAUUGACUCAACUAUUUUAUGUUUAUUUUUCCAGUACUAGCAGAACAUCAUUCAUCUAUAUAUGUUUAUGUGUGACUAAUAGAAAAAAAAAGCAUUACAUAACUAUUUCAAAUACCAUUACCACUAAAGCCUACUGAAGUGGCUAUGGUGCCAGGAGUGCGCUGGCACCCUUUCCCAUUGCAAAGAGUUUAUACUGUUUUUGAGUGGGAGCUGUAGUGGUUAUGGUGCUGUGAGUGUUGAUUUCUUAGGAAGAUGAUCUCAAACUUUAUGACUAAGACCAUACUCUGCUCAAAAAUAAUACGUGAUGUGAGAAGAACAUUCAUUUUACCAACGAGCUUGUGUCUAGCCUUAGGUGUACUGAUUAGAGCACCCAUUAGAUACAGGGUUAUUCACUAAUGUGAGAAUUCAAGGUGAAUUCAAAUUGAAUUUAAAAUUUAAGGUGAAAAUAGCUAAACUGGAAAAACUCUCUAAAUCAGUUAUGCAUUCAGUUCAUCUACUCUGGUCUUAAAUUAAAAAUUCACUUUCGAUUUCCACAUUAGUAAAUAACCCUGUUAGUGCGUGUCAGCUGCUGAAGCCACGAGGUUACAUAUUAUUUAUUGUGAACCUGUUUAAGUUGCAUUUGCAAUCGGCAGCAGAUAGAAUUAUGACAUUUUCUGUUACCUCCUCCUCCAGUUUUGCAGCCUCUGUAAAUGUGUGUCUGCAUCUGUAAACCCCCAAAUGGUUUUUCUUUUGGCGGCAUUUCACCAUGACAAAUAGAAAGCCACAUGUAAAGCAGUGUGGGAUGUAGCAUUCAAGCCAUUAUAGAAAGGCAGACAUGAGUUUUAAAUGUCAGGCCAAGUUAUCGAAACUCAUUAAUAUCACUGCUAGCCAUUAAUCCCCCCCCAUUAACAAUGUGGGCGAGAUUAGGGGUUAUAUAGUAUGGUUAGGGUUUUGUAAGAUGUAAUGGGCAGUAAUUCAUAUGGAUGUCGGCGGGGGAGGAGAGGUCACCAGCGCCGAGGGAGCCCGGCGCUGGAUUAAGGUAAGUAACUGAAGGGGUUUUAACCCCUUCAGUGCCACGGGAGGGGGACCCUGAGGGUGGGGGCACCCUCAGGGCACUAUAGUGUCAGGAAAACCGAUUUGUUUUCCUGACACUAUAGUGAUCCUUUAAAUUAUGUCCAAUCCCCAGUCAGUCACAUGGGUCCUUACCAAAAAAAAAGUGUGUCCACUCUUCCAGACAUGUAGCAGAGUGGAUGUUGGUAAAAUGGAAUUAACAUGAUGACAUUUCAUUUAUAUCUCACUCUAAGAUUGUCAGGGAUUUUUAUUUACAGUGUGAUGACAGUGAAGCUUUUAAUUACCAGCAAAUUAUGAACACCAAUGAAAAUAAAAAAGAAAACCCCUACAAACUAACAGAAAUGUGUCAGGUGCACCACAUGCAAAUUACGUUCUAGUACUUUAUUCCAGCUUUAUCAUCAACUGGGAAUUCAUUUUCAUACAUGGCGUUUGCUUGCUUCCGUAUUCUGCUAAAAAUCUCACUAACCAGUUCUUAAAGUGUUAUAGAACCUACGCUAAAACAACUGCAUUAUAGUCUUCAAUUCCAUCUGGAAGGCAGUGAUACUAAAGUACAAUUAUAGGUGGAUAUUCAGUAAAGUGAGAAUUCAAAGUUAGCAAUGCUUGCAGUUCGGCUGCUCUGGCCUUCAAAUUUACUGUUUACUUGUAAUUCUCAAUUUAGGAAGUAACCCUGUUUGUCAUCGCUGUAUUUAGUACGAGGCUGACAAGGCAUUUGCUUUGGGUGGCACUUUGAGGGAAGUGUCAAGAAAGGCCUCUCCCAAAACACCCUGGCAGAUGCCUUCUCAGCCUCUUGUCGUGGGGGCCCAAGAGGUGGCCGUCUGUCCACCUUGGGUCCUCCCGAGCAGGGCCGGACUGGGAAGGAAAUUCGGCCCGGGCAUUUUUUAAUUACAGCGGCCCACUAAAAAGGGGGCAGGGCCAGAUAGGGUGUGUUUUGUCAUCACCAAUGACAAGCAUGCCCCAUCACAAAGUGAGCAUGUUGGUUCAAUGCUCUUCCAGGGUAGACCAUGCGCAGAGCUCUGCUGAAGAUCUCUGGCAUGAGAAAAAUACCCUGUAUUUGUUCUGCACAGCGCAAGCAAAUUUAAUAACAUGCUUGCACUGUGUUUGCUUGAAAUUUGUCUCUGGUGUCUCCAUAGUUGGGAUACCAGGAGACAAAAAUGCCAGGAAAGCAUAUUGCACAGUGUGUGUGAGGGUGCUCUGUGUGUGUGUGAGAGGGGUGCAGUGUGUGUGAUGGGUGCUGUGUUUGCAUGAGGGUGCUAUGUGGGUAAGGGUGCAGUGUGUGUGAUGCAUGCAGUGUGGGUGCUGUGUGUGUGAGGGUGCAGUGUAUGCAUGUGAGGAAGCUGUGAAUGUCAGGGGUGCAGUGUGUGUGAGUGAGGGUGCUGUGAGUGUCAGGGGUGCAGUGUGUGUGUGAUGUGCGUGUCGGGUGCAGUGUGUGUGUGUGAGGGUGCUGUGAGUGUUAGGGGUGCAUUGUGUGUGUGCUGUGAGUGUGUGAGGGUGCUGUGAGUGUCAGGGGUGCAGUGUGUGAGGGUGCUGUGAGUGUCAGGGGUGCAGUGUGUGUGUGCUGUGAGUGUCAGGGGUGCAGUGUCAGGGGUGCAGGGGUGCUGUGAGUUUUAGGGUGCAGUGUGUGUGUGUGUGUGUGAGGGUGCUGUGAGUGUCAGGGGUGCAGUGUGUGUGCUGUGAGUGUUAGGGGUGCAGUGUGUGUGUGUGCUGUGAGUGUCAGGGGUGCAGUGUGUGUGCUGUGAGUGUCAGGGGUGCAGUGUGUAGGUGCAGUGUGUGUUAGUGUGUGAGUGAGGGUGCUGUGAGUGUCGGGUGCAGUGUGUGUGCUGUGAGUGUGCUGUGAGUGUCAGGGGUGCAGUGUGUGUGUGUGUGCUGUGAGUGUCAGGGGUGCAGUGUGUGUGUGCUGUGUGUCUGGGUGCUGUGAGUUAGGUGAUUAUAUCCCCCCUCCCUGCUUACCUUAUGCCUGGGAGGGGGGGGAUCNNNNNNNNNNNNNNNNNNNNNNNNNNNNNNNNNNNNNNNNNNNNNNNNNNNNNNNNNNNNNNNNNNNNNNNNNNNNNNNNNNNNNNNNNNNNNNNNNNNNGUUAGGGAUGCAGUGUGUGUGUGCUGGGAGUGUUAGGGGUGUAGUGUGUGUGUGUGUGUGUGCUGGGAGUGUUAGGGGUGCAGUGUGUGUGUGGGCUGGGAGUGUUAGGGGUGCAGUGUGUGUGUGUGCUGGGAGUGUUAGGGAUGCAGUGUGUGUGUGUGCUGGGAGUGUUAGGGGUGCAGUGUAUGUGUGUACUGGGAGUGUUAGGGGUGCAGUGUAUCUGUGAGGCUGCUGUGACCUGAGUGAUUAUUUCCCCCCUCCCUGCUUACCUUUAGCCUUGGAGGGGGGAUCCUGCUGCUGGGGCUGCAAUCCAUCCCUGGUGGUCCUUGUGGUGAGUGAACUCUAGCCUGUUGGAGGAACCCGGCGGAGCUGUAAGUUAGAGCUCCUCCGGGUUCCUCUGCUGGCAGGCAGGCUGGCUCCCUCCCUCUCUCCCCGCCGGCGGCCGCAAUAUCCUGCAUGUGGGCCGGUGAGGGAGAUCUUUGAUCUCCCCACCGGCCCGCUGUAGAAUACUGCAGGGCCGGCGCUCGGAUAGUGCCGGCCCUGCAAAGACCGGCAGGGGAGAUCCUGUGAUCUCCCUGCCGGCUUCGGCCCACGGCCACCGCAGCCCACCCGGCAUUUGCCAGUCUGGGCCUGCUCCCGAGGCUUGCAUUUGCUCUGUUUGUAGGUGGGAGGAGAGGAAGCGCUGUCUCCUGGGCUCUCCCUGUGUGCCCCGAAGUGGUGUCAGAGCCGGUAUAUGACAUUACUCCGGCCCCGGCAUCACUAAGCGGCGCGAGGGAAAAGAGCAGGAAGAGAAGAGCUCCCUCGCCACCUCCAUUGACCGUCAUCUGCUCAGCACCAUAGGAACCAGCCCAGUAGUCCCACUGGACCCCAUAAAAAUAGAGAAUCCACACUAACACUCCCAAAGGUAGGGAGGCUGGGUGGAUUGAAAUUUAAAAAGCAAAAAAAAUGCGAGUGUGUUAGUAUGAGUGUGUGUCUGUUACUGAGUGUGUGUGUCAAUUAAUGAAUGUGUGUGUCUGUCAGGGAGUGUGCAUGUGUGUCUCUCAGUGUGUAUGUGUCUGACUCUGAUUGGGUGUGUGUCUGUCAGUGAGUGUGUCUGGCACUUAGAGUGUGCGUCUGUCACUGAGUGUGUUCGUCAGUCAGUGAAUGUGUGUUUGUGUUUCUGUCCGUUAGUGUGUGUGUGUGUGUGUGUGUGUGUCUGUCAAUGAAUGUGUAUCUGUGUCCGUCAGUGUGUGUGUGUGUUGGGGGUGCCCUUGUUUCAUGCCUAGGGAAGCUGAAAAAAAUGCACCACUGCUGUAUGUGUGCUCUCAGUUAACCUCUCUCAUACCUUUUAUCAGCCUGUGGGGACCCACUGAAAUAACACGAGUUCACAAUUUGUAUAUACAGACUCAAGGUUAAUCCCUGCUUUACUGUACUGAAUUGAUUAUUUUACUGACACAUCAUGAUCACUUGCACUUUGUGGCACGUAAGGGGUUAAAACGAGCCGCUGACUUUGAUUCCUUGCAUACUGCAUUAACUCUUUGAGAGAUGGAGUAGAACAUUAAGUAGUCUUAUUUGUAUAGUUCUCAAAUAUCGUUGCAAAUUGAAGCAUCUUGUAUGAUCAUUAGAUGUAUGAGUCCAUAGGGCAAAACUUGGUCAAAUUCUUCAAGGCCCCUUCGUUUCUUAGGUCGCUUUUUGUGAUUACUCCAGCUAUGUUGCAUAAUCUGUGUAUAUAUAAUAUAUACAGAGCGUUUAAUAAUCUGCUCUAAUAUCUAACGUAACACAGCUAACUUGGGUUUUUUUUGAAUCUCCGCCCAUGGGGAAGUCCUGAUGACGCUGUUUUUUUAAGCAAGAUGUAAGAGAUGUUCACGUAACUCUGGGAUUCUGUACUACUACCACUCACAUCACGGCUACUCUAACAGUGUCUAUGGAAUGACUUGUUUUAUCUGAGAACAAAGUGGAUAUAUCUGCAUGGAAUUAAGGACACAAUUUACUCUGUUCCUUUAUCACUCCGUAAUGAGUGCACUGUCAGCAUCUGCAAGAGCAAGUCAACGCUGCAAAACCCUGGAACUGUGAAAUGUAAGUAUAUCCCAAUCUAUAAAAAGAAACGUUUACAGUUUAUCUUUCCCCGAG
RNAcentral lists this long non-coding RNA (49086 nucleotides) under Pelobates cultripes (western spadefoot toad). The record is from RNAcentral. Lineage: Eukaryota; Metazoa; Chordata; Amphibia; Anura; Pelobatidae.